RNAcentral lists this long non-coding RNA (52859 nucleotides) under Pelobates cultripes (western spadefoot toad). The record is from RNAcentral. Lineage: Eukaryota; Metazoa; Chordata; Amphibia; Anura; Pelobatidae.
CUCAAAACUCAUCCCAAGAGAUGCUUUCUGGGUAGGUACUGGGUGCACCCACCUUGCAUGAGAUCUUUCUUUUUCCGUAUCGUGUGAUUUUUGUUUUAUUUAUUUAUUUUCUGCUUUGGUGUGCUUAUUCGUUUGUUGUUGAGUUUGCAUGGAUUUAACAGUUUUAAUAGAUUUUUAUUUAUUUUUUGCUUUGGUGUGCUUAUUCGUUUGUUGGGGUUUGCAUGGGUUUAACAAUUUUCAUUUAUAAUUUUUUUUUUUUUUUUUUUUAACCUGUGGUGAGCCAGUGGCUUUGAAAUCCAUAUGCAGAGCUCUGAACAUAACGAAAACUUGAAAGUGAAUGUUUAAAUAUGCACAGCCCUGUGACAAGUAAAGCUUAUUUAAAAUUUUUAAAAAAUAAAGUAGCAUUCAGGAACAAGUAAAGUUAAACACUCCAAACACCAUAACCACUGUUAUGUUAUGUUUUUCAACAGUUUUCAAACACUUUUUCACUGGACACUGCACUCCAUUCUCACUACAGCUACAGGGGAGUUGUGGCAGUGCAGAGAUUAGAUCAUUGGCUGAGAUUGAUCAGCUGAUGCUCUUAGCCAGUGAGUUAGUCAUUCAAUACAGGACUUAGUUCAGGAAAGCUGUCUUUAAGGUGUAGUGGAGGUGGAGAGCACCACCCAGUGGACCCCAAGUAAGAAGUCAAACCAUUCUAACACAAUUUGACUGCUUACAAUGGGGGUGCAUGAGGGCACUCUUGGCACCAUAACCACUAUAAGCACACUGGUUCUUGGAGUGUUCCUUUUAAGCUGAAUUUCAUAAACCUCCGGUAACAAAAAAAGCAGAGUGAAAAUUGCUGAAACUAACUAACAAAUCUUACUGUGACUACAUAAAGUAAACAUUUUUAAAACAUUUUUUGAAACACAAAAUCUUUAUUUUGGUAAUGCAAAGUAUACACAAAAUGAACAAGAGAUAUUUGCACAUAAAGUUGUAAGGGAAUCCCAAGCCACACAUAUCUCGCUUGAUGCACUUUUUUUUUGAGUUUUAUAAAACAGGAUUACUAGCUAUUAAGGACAUCUAUGUGAUGAGAGAAAUUGUAUAACCAUCAAUUAUACCUGACGCCCUGUUAGAGGUGAUUACAUGGGUUUAGAUAGAGAUGACCCGAAUGGUCAUUGACAUACUUAGGGAGAUACAUGAACAUCUCCCAGGGAACCCAUGAGGCACAGUUGGCAAUAGAGAUAUGUUGGACACACACAAAAGGCACAUCAGGCCGUAAUUACCAUUAAGUAGCCAUAGCUGAGUAAUGCUGAGCAAUCAAAAAUUUAAUAUUUCUAUUAGAGGUGAUUUCAUUAUGACUUGGGGGAUUUCACACGGGGGUAGAAAGAGUGGCCCGAAUGGUCAUUGACAUACUUAGGGAGAUACAUGAACAUCUCCCAGAGAACCCAUUGUAUAAUAAUGUUGGGGUCCAGUGAGGACUGUAAUUGCAUUCUGUGAAGGGUGCUAACGGUAUGGUGGCCCAGAAAGCCUUGGUAAGAUGCCGGUAUCCAGACUACCCCACAGGUGGGAUAAUAGGGUGAGGGAGAAUGCAAUUGAGUGUAGUACCCCUAACCAAGGGGGCAGCAGGGGGAAGGGAGGGAUUGCUUGAUAUUAAUUACACCAUUCCUUAAGUACUGGAGGGCUGGUGCUCCCUUGCAUUACAUUUAGCAAUCGUUAUGCCAGAAGAUUGUAACAUAUCGGAACAAUAGAACAAAAUAAAACAAAGAAAACCAGUAAAACCAGUUGUGAGGUGUUAAUCUAUAACAGUGGCCCAUUAAGUUCAUGGGGUACUAGAGCUGCCUUUGACAAUGGGAAGGUCUGCUCGCAGGCAAUUUCUUGUCGUCAUGGUACCUGUGCUGGCACAUGGAACAAAGUGGGUAACAUUAGCUGGAUCCCAUGGGUUUUGGGCUGACUCAGGGUUGUAGGUGGGAGAGACAGACCCAAUUUCUUUAGGAAGGGUGUUGCAUCGUUCAUGAAGUGGAGAACGUGGGUGCCUCCAGCCUGUGUUAGCGCCAGAGAGUUGUCAGUCCCCCAUCUGUAAGGCAAUCCUGCCGAUCGUAAUUGACUGGUAACAGAUCCAUAGGAUUUUCUCCAUAACAGAGUAGCUCUGGUUAAAUCCUGAGAGAAGGUCAAGGUGGAGUCCUCCAAGGCAAGAGGUGUUUUGCCUUUCAGAGCUGUCCUUUAUUAGAAUUUUUUUCCUGGACUGUAAGACAAUGGAGAAUAACGUCCCGGUUCAUGUUGGGUUUAGUGUGGAUUGUGCUGGGAAUGCAGUAGAGUCCAUCUAUGGUCAGUUUCUGUGCCACUGUGGGAGGUAGCAAAGCAGCUAGAAGGUGCCUGAUAUAGUGAGGCAUUUCUUUUGCUGGGACACCCCUGAUUUUUAGGUGUGCGACGUUGUCCGUCCUCUAUAGCCGUGAUUCUGGCAGACAGAAUUCUCUGAAGUGUUUGGAGUUGGUCCUGUACUGUGGACAAGUUAGCUUGUGUGUCCACAAUGUCCCCCUCAGCGACCUUUACUCGUUCAGUGACUGCUUGCAAUUCCAUUUUGAGUAUAGCAGAGUCAGCAGCUAAUAUCUUGUGGAUGUCGGCCAGAAGAAUCUUCAGGUCUCGCUUGUGGGCAGGGCUGAGUCAUUGGAGGAUUCCGCAGGUAUGGUGCAUGUUGCCUGGGAGUUUGAAGGCACCUGCAUUUCCCGGCUGCCUGGCUCGAAGUUGGUCUUGGCUGUGCAGGCCUUUGCAGCAUGGCCCCAAUAUCUCUGUUGUCCGAUCCAGAGAUGGGUUUUUGUGAUCUGUCGCCCAUUGCUGGCAUGCAGGCUUGUGCAAGGGGCGGAGAGGGAUGUGAAGCGGCCCUCGCAAAGUUUCCGCUGAGGAGGGAGCACGGCAUGCAGCUCCUUGAAAAGGCAUUUAAAUGCCUAUAGCUAGACGUGUCUGUCAUACUGGAAAUAGCCAGUAGAUGACAGCACCAUACCACUCUCUAUUUUGGCCUACAAUUCCGUUUGCUAAUAUUAUUAUUAUUAUUAUUAUUCAUAACGUGUCAACAAAUUCUUUAGUGUUGCACUGAUAUUAGUUGAGGGAAACCCUUGGGAUUAGGAUUACGUUUAUGGAUUACAAUUAUGUUUAUAAUAAGUAUUAGGUUUAUAUUUAGGAAUUCGAUUUAGAAUUCAUGUCAGGAUUGGGAUUAUGCGGCUUAAAAUAUACCUUUAGACCUACCCAGUGGUGUCUAAUUUCUCAUAUAGUAUGCAUUUAUGGGGUUGCAGAAUAUUAUUUAUUUAUAUUCAUAGCAGGCAUGGAUGUCUAAUGGGUUAAAAAAAACAGAUGGUACUUUAAUUUGUCAGGUCUCUAAUAUGGCACUUUGCAAGGUCACAAAUGCAUACUUUGAGGGUAUGGAUUUUUUCAGGAGAGUUUGCUGAGCAUAAUUUGGUAGGUUUGAUCACAGUGGCACAUACCAGAUUUUAAGAAUGCUUGGUUAAAAUGUAAUAACAGUAUGUAACAAUGUAAAAAAAAAAAUAGUUUUACUACAAGCUGUGACAUUAACUGGGGGAAAAUGCCAGCACGUGAAGACAAUAAAUACCAUAUAAUAUACUUUCACAAAUAGCAGUCCAAGGGGCGGGCUGGGACAGGGGGGCAGGGAGGCAAUUGUCCCCCAGGCCGCCCUAAAUCCAGGGCCGGCGCGUCCAUAGGGGGGCACAGGUGGACGCCUUAGGGCGCACCGGCUCUUGGGAUGCAAGAUUCUAGUGAUCGGCAGAAGGGAAGCGCUCCCUCCUACCAGGCCACAUUAUGGACGCGCGGCGUGCGGCUGUGUUUGCAUCCAAGGCGGCGAGGGAGCUCUGACUUCCCUGCUCUGCUCCCUCGUGCGCCGUUUGCUGAUGCCGGAGCAGAGCCGGGAGAUCACAGCUCCCUCGCCGCCUUGGAUUCAAACACAGCCGCACGCCUCCCAGCAGGCUGGGUGGAACGUUUUUAAUUAUAAAAAUAUUAAUAAUUAGGGAGUGUUUGUGUCUGUGAGUGUUUGUGUCUGUGAGUGUAUGAGUGUGUCUGUGUGUUUGUGAGUGUCUGUCAAAACAGUGAGAGUAUGUUUGUCAUUGAGUCUGUGUGUGACGGUCAGUGAGUGUCUGUGUGUGUGUUUUGUCAUUGAGUCUGUGUGUGUGACUGUCAGUGUGUAUACACCACUGAGUGUAGCAUGGUGGAGUGGAGUGUGGUACAAGAGCUUCUGUUUCCUGUACCCGGCCGAACUAACAGGAGGUGCUCACUGAGAGCACCUUUCCUGUCAGUCCGGCCGGGUACAGAAAACUGAAGCUCCUGUAUGGGAAUCCACUCUGCUCGGCCACGCUACAAGUGAGGUAGGAGGCACACCCGGAAAGGGAGGGGACCACUAAGGGGGUGCACCAAGGGACAGAGAGGGUAGGGGAGAGAAAAACCAAGGGACUGGGAGGGGAGAGGGGCUGCUUGUAAAAGAAACACACAGUGGGGCUUGAGAAGGGGAAAAAGAGACACAGAGGGGCUGGGGGGAGACAAAUGUGCUGGGUGUGAAAGAGACACACACAGAUGAGCUGGAAAGAACAAAAGACACAAAGGGGCUGUGAGGAGCAAGGAGAGGGGAUAAGGGUCACACAAGGGAGUUGUAAGACACACAAUGGGGAAAAGUAGGAGAUACUAAAGGGUGUAAGACAUUUAAAACAAAAAGGAAAUAAGAAACCCAAAAGGGAGGUUAAGAGGGACACGCUGUUUUGUGGGUGGGGGUAGAGGAGAAAUGCAUCUUCGCCUAUGUACCCAAAAAGCCUUGCACAGGCCUGCCUAAAUCAUGUUAAAAAUGGCCGCUGUCUCUUCCUGCUUGCCUGCCACGGAGGCAGAAAGGAUCUCUUGGCUGUCUCUUGGCUGCGGAGUCAGAGGGAGGGGGAAUGGAAUGGCCACUCACUGGCUGACAGGGAGUGAGAGCUGAUGCAUACCGGGAGUUGUAGUCCCUGCUAGGGGCCCCCUCACGCUCAUGUGGGGCUUUAACUCAGCAGUAAACUACAACUCCUAGUCCUCACACAGACAAUCUUCUUGGAAGUUGGAGGCAGAGGAUAUGCACUAGGUAGCACCAGCGGAGCGAGGGAAAGACUUGGUGUGACUGGCUGCAUUAUAAAACCAGGAAAAGGUGGGCAUGGUGGUGAGCUGAUUCGGUGGUGCAAUUGGCCACUUGACUGGUUUGGCCCCCAGGCUUAAGGCUGCCAGCCCUCCCCUGCGGCAGUCAAUUUGCUAUAAAGCCCACAAAUAAGAUAUAGGCCCAUCCAUCAAAACUCUAACUGUAAAAACUGAAAGUCAGGUCUCCUUUACAGGAUAGGGACAAAGACAGACAUUGGGAGACAUAAGAGUUUAUAGUGCAUUUCAUUUAAGUUGAGACAAUGUAUAUUUUUAUAUAUCGUAGUAGUCAGGGAACCUUUCCAUUCAUCAUAACUUAUUUAAUAAUGGGACAGAUGUAACUUUCUGGGUCUCCAGCAGUCAAUUCUGCGUGUCUAGAAACACGUGUUUUUUCAAGAUGUUCUUAUUAUUUAGAUUUUUUUUAAGCUUCUCCUAAAUGUGAGAUUUGUCGCUGGGUAGAUGUUCUCGGAGGUACUCUUUGGCUCUUAUGUAUGUACAGAUUUCUAUGCUGUCUAGAUUAUAUUCAGUACAUAGGGAAGUGAAGUAUUUAAUUUUCUUUUCUUUACAUUGGUCAUGAAUUUUUGUAAUACCGGAGUUAAUCCAUUUCUGUAAAUUUAAAUCCUCAAUAUUAUUCGCGAAUUGUCCUAGGGAAAGAGAGGUAAAUAUUGUAUUUUGGAGUGAUAUUUAUUUUUUAAAUUUCUCCCAUGUAAUCCAUACUCUGUUCAGAACUAUCUGAUUGAGUGAUAAUUGCGUGCUCAGUAUUGCAAGUUUUCCAUUGUUGUUUUAACUGGGGAAUGUCCAGUCCACUUUGGUCAACCCUUAAUGCCAGUCGCUUUGAAUUGAUACAGGCAUGCUUCCUUGACCAGACAAAUUUAUUAAAAAUGUAUUAGGUAAGAGUCAGACAGCUGUCUGGGCUUGCUGGAGGUACCAUGCAGAAGCGAUACACCCACUUAGGGAAAAUGUAUAAUGUUUAUUCUCCCCCACCAUGACACCUACCUAUUUUUCCUUUUGCGUGGCAAUUUUGUUUUCUGUGAUAGCUAUUAAACUUACAAGACAAAAAUACCAAAUUCUAAAAUUGCUCUAUAUUGAUUUUAUUUUACUUUGUGUACCUGUAACUACCAACUAUAAACUGAAAUCCUAGACCCAGUAUGUAGUCUGUAAACCAGAACAUAUAAAUUAAUUUAUUUUGAAAUACUUUUAUGAGCUGUAUUAAUUAUGCAUACAUUAUAAUUGCCAAAAACGUGGGUAAAAUGUGUUUUUGUUUUUUCACUUUUGUUUUGCAUUUUUGUGUGCUAUUUUUAUUUUAUUUUAUUCACAAUAAAUGAGCAUUUUUAUAUGCAUGUCACAUAAAAUUAAAGCCCUUUUUAUCCUUUAAAAAAAAAAAUAGUAUGUAAUGUGUCAGUGGAAAAAACGACAAAGAUGGAAAUUACAGUGAAACACAAAAAUGCAAAACUUGCUUUGGUUCUUCCAUACACAUUGUAUACCAUCACAUGUUGUUGUGUUGUUCACUUUUUCCUUUAAACAGAAUGAGACUAACGUAGUAAUAAAUGUCAGAUAUAUUUUAAGAUCCAUACUUACAUUUUUCAAUGCGUCUGGUCAGUCACUUGCUACAGGCAUAGCCUGACAUAUACUGACUACUCUAUGACAGAAAUACACCUGCUUCUACACCUGUCAGACUUAGUUUUUUUUUCUGCUUGAACUUCUAUCAUAGAAGCAAUAGUUGAACAUUUAUACUGACUCUUCGUCUUUUAAAAACCUGUAGAUCUGUCAUUAUUCCACUAGAGGGCACCUGAUGCUAAGCAGUGAUUGAGAUUCACUUGCUGAGUCAUUAUAGUGUAGAUUUAUUCAUAUUUUUGCAACUCUGUUUCUUGCCUGCUUUUUUAAAUUAAGUUAGCGAGGAGCUAUUUGUUUUGCAGUGUUCUAUGUGACUUGUGAAAGUGAGAUGAAUUGUAUGUAGUAAUGUCAAAAUCAGUAAAUCUGCCUCCAUUGAAUCAAAACAACGGAGUUUACAUAUAAAAAGUGUCUCUUCUGAAAAGUGGUACAAACAUGGAAAAGAAGAUGAGUCCCCAAUGUAAUGUGCCAGGGGUGGAGGUAGAUUCCACCAGUCUGCUUGCUGGUUGUGACACUUUUAGUACAACCGAACACUUUUUACACAUAACCCCCUAUAUUUCUGCAGUUAUCAAGGUCGCUGGUACUUCAUGUGGUACAAAGACAGCUCUUUGUAGAAACAUAGAUGCUUGUGUCUGAUGUUCCCUGAGUGUCUCCGCCAUUACAAACCUUUCCCUGUUUUAAAACUAUCGUAGUACAUGUUUAGGUACUAUCUUCUGAUAUUGUAAUAUAAUGACUUUGUUAUACGGAACUACAUGUUGUUUAGUGUUUUUUGUAACAUUUUGUUUGUUUUAUUAUUCACUGAAGUUCAUCGCUCACCGGCACCAUACUAAAUCAAAGGUGCUAUGUUAAUGCAGAUCUAAUGGCACAUGCACAGGUAGACAUUAGUUGUGGUAAGAAGAUAAUCACGUUGCUAAAUUUACAUCAGUGUCUCCCAUGUCAGCUGAAACACAAAGCUUUACUUGGAAUUUGGCCUCAAACUAACUUUCAGCUUUGUUUUGUCAUCUAUAUCCCUCAAAGGGUUAUAUACAGUAUGUAUAUAUGAAAUGAAGAAGCACCCUCUCUCAGUUCCUUUACUGGAGCGUUAAUUUCUGAGUUUAAUAGUGGCGUGGUUUAAUAUAUUUAUUAACCUACUAUCUAUGAUCAUUCUGCUGUAUAAUCUGUUUAGAUGUAUGUUUUUAAUUUUAUGUAUCAAUGUAGCUUGAAGAAAGCCUAUAGCACAUUGACCUUCUGAGAAUCCUCGUUUCUUGGCAAACAUAUUAUAUUAAAAUAUAUAGAACUGAAGAAGCAAUAGGACCAAUAAAACAAAUUGUUAUUAAAUUAGUAAUAACACUCAAAGCAACAAAAGUAUUAGAUUAAAACUUGUUAUUAUGCUGUGCAGUUAUACUUCCGUGACGUUCAAUGUAUUUAAAUGAUGUAUGAUAAUGCAAUAAUUAAUACCAAUAAUACAGCAAGUCUAUAGGAACAGAAGCAGGAUAGUAUAAUACAGAAGGGACCUGAUCUAUCUAUCUAUAUAUCUAUAUCAGGAAAAAACAUGGUGUCUGAUAGCAACCCACUAUUUACAAAGUAAUUAUAUAAAAAUAUUAAAAACAAAACAAACAAAAAAACAUGAAAAGUGCUGUAAAUAAAAUGGACAAAAUAUAUAUAAAAAAAAAUAAUAAUAAAGAAAAAAGAUUAAAUCAACUUAAAAGAAAAAAAUUACUAAAUAUAAGCUCCUUGGUGUCCGUGUUUUCAGUCAGUGAAUCCAAGAGGUUUCUCUCUAAGAGCACGGUUUCUCCCUGUUGUCUCCCACUAAUGUCUAUUAUUUUGCUCACUAGUUUGACGUUUAAAAUGAAUAAACCUAAACUGAGGACAAUAAUUACAAUGUAUGGGUACUCAAUGUUUCUUUUACUUUUUCUCUAAUAUUGUUCUGAUGUUCUUGGAUCCUCUCUCAAUUUAUGUUUGGUCUUCGCACACAUUUGGCACAACGAGAAGGUGGCGUCUACUUGUUGCUAUGAUGCAAUAAGUGUUGCAUCAUACUUAAGUUACAAAGUGCGAUUGGAUCAGUUAAAUUGAAACUGCAAUGUCCAAAUAUAAAAAAUAAAAAUCACAGAUUACUAUAUAUCCCUAAUGAAAACAUACAUGCUUUGAGAAAUCUCAACUGAGAAGUAUUUGCAAGGUAGCUGCUCUGAGCAACUGCCUGCCUCUUGAAUUUAGCUCCACUGAGCUAGCUUACUGGUGUUUCUUCUACAUUUCUUGAUACAACUAUCCAAAAUCUCCCAAUUAUUAUUAUUAUUUUUUUUUACUGAGUUUCUUUAAUUUGUCUAAAAAUUCAUAUUGUAAUUUAACACACACAAUUUAAGCCCUGCGCUCAUACUCCCACUGUUCCUAGGCGGCAGUACAUCAGCCCCAAUGCAUACAAUAAAAAUGAAGAAAAACUGUUACUUGCGCACUAUCCAAAAUCCCUAUGCACAUUUUAAAUUAGUGAUACUAAAAAAACUCCAGUUAUUUAAAUGUAAAUAGGGAUUUGCGAUAGUGUGCAAGUAACUAAGCCCCUCCCCCUUCCCCCCCUCUGGUUUUAAUUACAUCUUACAUUAAACUAACAUAUAUUCAAACAUGACUUUCAUCCAAGCGAUGUUUGUUCCUCUGACAUUAGCAGGAUGUGUCAUGACAUCUAACUCAUUUUAGUGUUCUGUGUCUGUAAUAUUUGUGGUAUCUUUGUGUUUUAUGGAACCUAGCAUUUCAUACUUCGAGAAAACGGUGCUCAGUAAAGACACCACUCCAGAUUCCGAAUUCAAAGCUUUUUCAUAUGGUAAAAAAGGGCGAUGAUUACAGGACCCUCACAAACCUAAUUAAGUAUCCUUUUGAGUAUCACUUUUUUCGUGUUCUGCUGUAUUUACCUUUCACGGAUAUUUGUGAAUACUCUAUUGCUUAUUGUGGUAUUUAUUGUGGCUCAAGGAAGCAAGGUGAAGGGUUCGUGUAGGACCCGCUUAGGGGGGUCCCUCCAAUGGCCAUUGGAGUAACUACAUUACCUCCAUUUGUUUAAAUAUACAUAGGGAUUUAGGAGAGAGCGCAGGUAACUUUUUUCCCUUUGGUUUUUACUAUAUAUUGGGGCUGAUGUGUACUGUGGUCGUUGCUGCCACCCAGGAGUGAUGGGACUGAGAGCAGGACUUAUCUUUUUGUAUUUGUUAUUGUGGUAUUUAGUCUACAGAAAACAUUCUUGAAGUCAUCAUUCAUUGUUUAGUUUAACACAGACAAAGAAACUAUUUCUGGCAUGUAACCUUAAUUUACACAGACCAUUAACCAUUAAUUGUGUACAGCAUGUAUCUAAUCUUGCACCUUCUAGAUUAUAAAGUUAAUAAACUUCCACUCUCUUACAUUCUCAAUCCCAUAUCUAUCACCAUCUCCAUCAUGUGUGGUCCGAGUGGCUCCUCUGUGCUUACGGGACGUGUGCCAUUAAUAUUCCUAGUAGGCCAUGUCUUCACUGCCAAAGGCAUUUCACCUCAUUUUACAGCUUUGUUUUAAUAAGGAUUUAAUUAUAGAAAUCAUGGCACCAUGGUCUCUAUUUAGUAGCAGCUUUGGCAUUGCUACUGAAUGAAGCAAUAAUUAAAGACAAGUAAAAGUGUGUGUAUAGAUGUUUAGACGUCUCAUGCCUGCUACUGCUGAACUAUAUUGCAGAGUAACCAAGACAGGCAUUUUUCCAGUAACCUGGACGCAGACGGAAUGUUCAGAGGCCAUUAGCUGCUCUGAUAAAUUGUUCUGUUCUACGUAGAGGAUAGGAGACCAGAUCUGGGUGCCAGGGGAAAAUCAUACAUGUUUAUUUUCUUCUUUAAAACAACUCUACCAAGGUCCACCUCAUAACAACUUCAGCUCAUUAAAGUACAUGCUGUUUCUCUUAAUGAACGACCAGUGAUUUGCUGAUAGUCUCAGCUGAGGCCCUCUGCCUAUCACCAGCUGUGUGGUAAAACUUUCUCAUACUGCAAGGGGCUGGGAUGAAGUAAGGAGACAGUGGUGUCAGUGUGGGAGGAACAAAUUUAGGAUUAAACCAUUUAACAAAUGAAAGAUGGCGCCAGGCACUCUAAUCCCUAUAACUAUUUUAGUGAGCGGAAGUUUUCUCGGGGUGGUAGUGUUCCUUAUGGGGUUUACAAUUACAGUUUAUACUUAUUGGAAUUUUGCAUUGAUAGAAGAUUGCAAUUCAUAGUAAAACUGUAACAUUUCCUUUCUAAAGACCGAAAUGGGAGAUACCUGUAUCUAAAGUGGGUAGUUCUGACUUCCAGAAUACAAAACACAAAUGGAGAUUUUUGAGGUACUUUAAAAUGAAUCUUCGCGAAUCAGGUUUUAAUAUUUGGGUUAUUUUGCUGCUUUAUCCCAUGAAAUUGCAAUGUUGACUUAAUGAGGUGAUCUGGGUGCCAGGUCCAUCUAGGGUUAACCCUGCCUGCUGUAAACAUAGUGUCAGAGAAACUGCUAUGUUUACAUAUGGGUUAAUCCAGCCUCUCAUUUACAGCCGCUAGAGGCGCUUCUGUGCCUCUCACUGUGAUUUUUCAGUGAGAAGACGCCAGCGUCCAUAGGAAAGCAUUGAGAAUGCUUUCCUAUGGACCGGCUGAAUGCGCACGCAGCUCUGGCCGCGCAUGAGCAUUCAGCCAGGGACGUCAGAAGAGGGAGAAGAGUCCCAGUGCCGAGGGAGCCCUGCGCUGGAAAAAGGUAAGGGAUUAAUCCCUUCCUCCCCCUUCAGCGCCACGGGAGUUUAUUUAUACUUAAAAUUUGCCCGAAUUGUAUUUAUUAGUGUUGCUCAAUAUUUGGAGAAUGGCAGGUCUAUUUGAUAUUUUGUUGCAUUUGCCAGCAAUACAAUGCUUUUUGCUAUUUAACAUUGUCUCCUUUAUGUGAAAGUCUAACAAAACAAAUAGUGUAUCCAUAAACACAUUUUGAGUUUUAUUAUUUGACCAUCCAUUGACUAUCUCAAGUCUUCAGAUAUACUUGUGAAAAAUUUUUUAUGUCAUCUACCAAGGGACAACUAAUUGAUGUGACAUUAUGUUCUAAAAUGCCAAGUUAUUUCUGAAGUAAAAAUACACAUCUCCUUUAUUUUUUUUUUUUUUUUAAAGCAAUUACAUGUUUUUCCUUUUUAAUUGGGUUGCAUUGAUCCAAAUGUAACCUGCUCAUUGUGUCUCAUGGUGUUCCAAUCAAUUACAAUAAAAGAACGUUUCCAUUUUUGUAAACUGAAUAAAGGGAGAUACAGCAUUUUCAAUUGAAAAUCACAAAUGAAUGUUGCACUGAUAUGUAUUAUAUUACAGAGAGUAACACUAUACAAAGCAGGCAGUCCUGGCCAAGAAGUAAAGAGUGAGUGUGUGUGUUAAGUUGAAACCACCAGGAAUAUAAAGAGAUGCCUUGGAUUUUCUUCAGAAGUUGGUUCACUAACUGACCUAACCCAUAAGUUAUAAUGCACAUACAAUAAGAUGGACCUGCAACAUGGUAGUUUCAUAUGAACCAUGCAUUGUACGCCAAUUCACAUAUACACAGUGUGUGCUCUUAAAAUACCUUGUAAUCUUCUUUUGUUUCACUGCUGUGUUACCGUCACACGAGAGGCUGUACACUUUGUGUAGGAUGCAGUUGCAGUGAUGGUUACAUUCAUAUGUUAUGUAAAGCUGGGUUUAUUGUGUAUACUUUUAAGUGAAUCUGGAAAUCUUGUCAUUACAGAUUUUGAUGUGACCUUCUUUUGGCACUGGAGCAGAUUCUUGGAUUACAUCCAGUGUGUGCUGGCUUUCACUGGUGUGGCUGGAUACCUUACCUAUCUGUUCCUGGACUCUGUGCUCUAUGUAGAGACAUUGGGAUUCCUUGCAGUGUUUACAGAAGCUAUGCUUGGAGUACCUCAGCUUUACAGAAAUUACCAAAACAACUCCACCGAAGGAAUGAGGUCAGCUUACUCAUAUUUUCACUUGUCUUCAGUCAGUUUACCCAUUUUUGGUCUGUUCCUUUUUACCCUUUCUUGUUAUAGUUAUUUUUGUAUUUAUAGAGAAUGGAAUACAUUGAUUAGCCUACAUGAUAUUAGAUAGGGACACAUGCUGUAGGGAUGUUAGAAUCCUUACUAGUGCACGUGAACAGAGGACCCUGGUGCAAGACAUUUUUGGGUGCCCCUUAAAACGGCACUGUCCCACCACAUUAAAAAUUUGUAUUUCAUAAAGAAGGAAUAUUCAUGAAAUACUAAUUUUGACUGUAUUGGAAUUUCACUGAAAUUCCAACCCAAGCAAGAAAUAUAAUAGAUACUACUUUGUCUCUGUAUAUUUCCUCUGCCUGAGUUUCUUAGACACCGGGUAGAGCUACAGUGUCAAUCCCGACAAUGACGGUUGUAUGGACUGGCUCUGUCUGUGGAGGAUCCCACGGUCUUGCAGAAUACUCCAUAGACCUCAAUACUGUACUGUUACAUACAGUAGUGAUGACGGCUCCUGGCACUGGAGGAAGUUUGCUGCACCCGCAAAGGGACAGGUUUAGGUAAAUAAUCUCACCUAUACCGUGGCCCCCCUCCUCCAGCCACCGGACCAUUAGCAGCAUUGUCACAGUCGGGGGCUCUUUGCAGAUUCUGCAAAGUCCCCAGAUGGUGACAGUGCUGCUAUAAGGUAAAUCAUAUUUAGGAUUAGGGGAAAUAGCAUACAUUGAAAGGGGGCCUGUUGCAUCGUCAUCAUUACAAAGAGCAUACGUCUUAUAGUGUUCCUUUAGGCAUAUAAACCUUUUCUGUAACCACGUACUUGUAUGUGUGCAUAGGUAGUAUUAAUUUUUCUAUUUUUGUGUGUUUGCUUACAGUCAGGAAGAAUGUGUGUGUUUGUGAAUAUAGCCUAAGUGUUUGUGAAUGAAAGAGUAUGUGAGAGUAUGAUGGUAUUCAUUUCUGUGGCUAGUUUGUGUGAAUGUCUGUGUUUAUUUGCAAAGUGUGCCAGUGUUUCAUACACAUAAAACCACUCUCUUUAACCCCUUAAGGACACAACUUCUGGAAUAAAAGGGAAUCAUGACGGAAUAUUUCCAUCAUAUGCCCUUAAGGGGUUAACAAGUUUCUUCUCAAACUCCAUUAUUUUCAGCUCCUCCAUCAUCGAACACCCAUCUCUACUUUUUUCAUCAGUCCAGUUUUCUUGUUUUUGUUUUCUGAGCCCCAACUUUUCCCAUCACCUCCCAAACUUUCUUUCCUGGCCCCUGUUCCUUGACAAGCCUUAUUUCCUUCCCAAGCUCUUUUUAGAUUAGUCCGUUCCCUCUCUGCCUUCACAUUCUCUUUAGGUAACACUUUUUUUCCCUUUGUUUCAAAAAGUUUUCCUUAAUAAACUUCCCCGUCCCUCCGAUAAUGAGAUCUGAUCUGCCUCACAACAGCUAGGUGGUCUCUGCAAAGAGCUGACCAAUUCAUCAAGAAUCUCUGUCUUUCCAAAAAUAAGUACCCCUGGCUGCUGUCCAUCCAUCGUGUGUUUAAAAUAAUGUGCAGCAAUCAGCUUGCUACAAGCACUGACUCGUUAGAGUCAUUCUCGCCGUUAGUAAAAGCUGCAUGUACUCGUGCAGUGUAGGAUCAGCAGCUGUGAUAAUGCCAUAAGAGUCCUUGCAACUUAACAGCUUCAGUAAGCAGAAGAAGGUAUGGUUCCACUUUUAAAAACAUUUCCCCCCCUUUAUCUACGUUUUCCAUUUUCCCGAAAUGGCAGAUUGAUAUCUAUAGACCAUAUUCUUUCCUAGGCACAACUUUGUUUUAUUAUAUCUCUCAACAAUGCUGGCGGGUCAACCGCAAAAUAACACUUUAUCGCAUUACAACUGGGAUACUUAAGAGACCGCUUGUGAAGGAGAUAAGUACCCUCUGAUAUCUAGCUCGCAGGACCCUCAUCAGUUUAAUUGUUGUGUGAAUGUGUGUAGAUGAAACCUGUUUAUUUUUACUGACUUAUCUUACCAUAUAACAGGCUUAUAUAACUGGUGGGGAAAAAUAGGUGUCAUAAAAUUUUGAGGAAUCGUAUAAAUCUAAUAGUCAAAUGAAGACUUGGAAACUUCUCAUCCUUUUUUUUUGGUGGGGGGCAGUGGGAAGAAGGAGUCAUGAUGAUGCUGAACAUUUGCAAUCCAAAAUUCCUUCUAAUGAGCAUUAGAUUAUAGAACAAAUGUGCUUUUUCUCUCCCGUGAUGGCAGAAAAAAGGUUGACUUGAUGUCCUCACGGUUAUUUCAGAGAUAAGACUUUUGUCUGUAGUUGUGUUCAAAGGGAUUUAUUUGCAUAGUUAAAAAUCCUUGUUGGUUGUGAUCUUUUUUUGUUUUAAUUGCAGCUCUCAUUUGAGCACAAGAUAAUAGGACACAUAAAAGACAAGUGCUAAUAUCCACAGGGAAAGUUAAUCCUUAUUUGUGACCUUGUUUCUUUCAAGUCACAGGUGCUUUCUCUUAAAACAUUAAUUAGCUGGUGACACCAAGAGAAGGACAAUUUUGAUUAAUGCAGAUCAGCUCUUAUUUAUUCAACCACGGCUUAAUUUUAUAUUUUGUCUCUCCUUGAAAAUGUUCCCACAGACUUUCAUGAGAACAAAGAAAAACUGGUAUAUGGGAACUUAGAGUGCACCUAAUGCCUCUGACAAUUCAAUAUAUACUCUUUUUCUAAAUUGGUCAUUCACAAUCACAAUAACAAAUUGCCUUUCACUGAGGUCAGCCAUCUUUUUAUUGUACCAUUAACUAUACCAUGAAUAUCUUAUAGUGUUGGGUUAAUUUUACAUUUAUAUUCUGGUUUACAGAAUGCCCUAUGAGAAGUAUGAUAACACAGUGAAACGGCAGGUUUAGAUAUGCAAUGCAUUAUACCAAAAAGUAAAAAAAACAAUCACCGCAAAUGUUUUUCUAUUGUGAUUAAACAUGUGAAUAUGUAUCUCUGAAAAUGAAGGACUAGUGGAUUGUAGUAAUUGUUUCUUAAUGUCAUUAGUGCUUCAUUCUUUCUGUCAUUCUUACAGCACAUUUAAUGGCUGUCUUUCUGCUCAUUUCUGGAUAUCUUCCACAAAACAGAACACACAGGGUUCUGUUCAUCUUUUUCUUUAUUAUUAUGUUAUUAUUUUAUUUAUAUAGCACCAACAAAUUCCACAGCGCUUUACAGUGGGUGGACAAACAAACAUGUAGUUGUAACCAGACUAGUUGGACACACAGGAACAGAGGGGUUGAGGGCCAUGCUCAAUGAGCUUACAUGCUAGAGGGAGUGGGGUAAAGUGACACAAAAGGUAAGGAUAGUAUUAGAAUAAUGACAGUUGAAAGAGAGCAAUCAGUUGGGAGCGAUUAACAGUUUAAUUGAUACCUUUUUAUGAAGAAUUGGGUUUUUAAUGAUUUUUUUGAAGGAGUGGAGACUGGGUGAGCAUCUAACGGAGGAGGGAAGUGAGUUCCACAGGAACGGUGCAGCCCUCGAGAAGUCUUGAAGGCAAGCAUCAGAGGUGGGAGUACGGACAGAAGAUAGACAUAAGUCUUCAGCAGAGCGCAAGGGUCUCGACGGGACAUACUUGUGUAUUAGGGAGGAUAGAUAGGUGGGAGCAGCAUUAUGUAGAGAUUUGAAAGCAAGAACCAGAAUUUUAAAUUGAGCCCUAUAUCUUACAGGAAGCCAAUGUAGGGACUGACAGAAGGGUGAGGUGUGUGCGGACAGGAAGAUGUGCCUCGCCACCGCAUUCAUUAUGGACUAUAACUGCGCAAGUUUGGAGCACGUAAGACUGAGAAGAAGAUUACAGUAGUCAAGGCGAGAUAGGACAGUGGAAUGGACAAGCACCUUAGUCGCAUCUGGCCUUAAGUAGGGUCGGAUACGCGCAAUGUUUUUGAGAUGGAAGUGGCAGGAUUUGGCGAUAGACUGAACAUGAGGCGUGAAGGAGAGGUUGGAGUCAAAGAGAACACCUAGGCAGCGAGCCUGCGUGGUGGAGCUGAUGGUAGAACUGUUGACUUGGAGACAGACACAGAAGUAGCAACAAUUGAGGGAGGAAAGAACAGAAUUUCAGUUUUGGUCAAGUUGAGUUUAAGGAAGUGGGUAGCCAUCCAGUUAGAAAUAGCAGAAAGGCACUCAGAGACACUAGUCAAUACAAAAUAUCCAUCUCAUGAGCAAUUCUGCGGUUAUCCCUAUGCCCUAGUGCAUUGUAUUGGCAUAAUAUUUACAGCUUGAAUUCAAAUGAAUUUCAUUCUAAGGACAGAGUAGUCAAACUGAAAGCAUAGCUGACUGAUUUUUUUUUGGGGGCAAUUUAUACCUUCAAUUUAAAAUUCACUUUGAAAUCUCACAUUAGUGAACAACCCUGUUAAUUCUGCUCUAUCUGUCUUUCUUUGUUUUGAAUUACUUUUAUGCCCUUCUUCUACUUUGUCUUUUUUUAUGAUCCGCUCCUCUUUUACGACAGUGCUCGACAAAUCCCAGGCACCAAGUCGCUUGGGUGUUUGCCAACUCCCGGAUUCUGGAGGUGGCCGGCCCGGGGAGUCUGGAGGCGGCCGGCUGGCCGGCCUGCCCGGGGAGUCUGGAGGUGGCCGGCCAGCCCGGGGGGGUCUGGAGGCGGCCGGCUGGCCGGCCAGCCCGGGGGGGUCUGGAGGCGGCCGGCUGGCCGGCCAGCCCGGGGAGUCUGGAGGGGGCUAGGGAGUCUGGAGGCGACCGGCCACUGUGUGCCAUUGGCCCAGGUAGAGUGGAGCCGGGUGGCAAGGGAACAGAAAUCUUCCUGCACUUAUUGCUCUGUUCAGUUGCGUACCCUGCUGUGAUGACAGGGCCCAGAAUAUGAUGUCAAAAGAAAUAAAACCGGUUGCGUCAAAUAACUGAUCAGUACUGGUAUUGCUAAGAAAUACAGUUGUAUGCAAGUAGUAGUAACUGGAAUCUAUAAUUGCAAAGAAUGUCCUCGUAAAACAAUAAGAAAGUCCUUGAUAACGGUGGUAGUUGUAGUAGGUAGUUCAAUGCAUUUCACCAAUUAACAUCGGUUCCAAGAUAUGAAACGACAAUAAAUAACAUAAAGAACGAACAAUAGUGUUAUAUUGUUUGUAACCAGUGCAGAAGCAAUAAUUUUUAUAAAAAUACACUCAGAAACGAGGAACCAUCUGUUGGCUCGAUUGUUUUUGCUUCUGACAAUAUAAUCCUUAUCACAAGAUAUUAGGUGCAGAAUCACAACAAGAUCUUUGUAGGGACACUGGCAUGUCUUAUGUUAUCUUCACAGUAUACGCAUUUCACAUGGAAUACAUAAAAAGUAAAUAAAUAAAAUAGUGCAACUCAAUAGAACAAACCCAGUGUGUAUAUAAAAAGAGAAUACAAUGCACUAAAAAAAAAGCGCUUCCAAUUCAGCUACAACACCCUAGAUUCACUAUACACACUCUGCAUUCAUUGCAAACACACUACAUUCACUAUACACACUCUGCAGUCACUAGGCACACACUACAUCCACUACAAAAACACACACUCUGGAGUCACUAUACAAACACACACUCUGCAUCUAAUGAAUACUAACAUUACAUAGAUUACUCAAAACGUACAAUCUGCAUCCACUAUACACACUGCAUCCAUGGCACACAUCCCGCAUCCACUAUAUGGAUCCACACACACCACAUUCAGUACACACAUACACUUCAUCCUUGUGGGCAGACUCGGGGCAGGCCCUGUGGGUGGACCUUGAGGUGUGUCAGGGGCCCCAAAAUUUCUGAUGGCAGCCAUGGCUGCACCAAUCAGUAUCUUCUCAUAGAAAUGCAUUAAGUCAGUGCAACCUUCAGCGCCUCCAUGCAGAGUAUGGAGACUCUGAAUGUAAUGCUGCUCACUGUGCAGCAUUGGACUAGGAAUCGUCUCUAAUGGUCGUAUGAGCUGUUACUAGGCAGCAAUGUAAACAAUGGCUUUUAUCUGAAAAGGCAGUAUAUACAUUGAAAAGCCUGCAGACCUUAAACUGUAGUGGUUCUGGUGACGAUCGUGUUCCUUUAAGAAUUGUAUUUUUGUUGUUGAAAAUUAAACUUUGUUAGUUUAAAAAACAAACACACAAACAAACCUGACUCCUAAUUUUUUUUAGCAGUCUCCUAGAUCUAAGAAAAUUUGUAAAGCUCUAUCCUACACAAAGCACAGUUAAAACCUUAAAUCCUCUGCAUUAUAAUUCACUAUGUAUUAUAUAUUCAUUAAGAUAGAAAAUGGCUCUGGGUGCAGGUAUAAUUUAUUUAAAGUCAUUUGUUUUUGUCCAUCUUGGUCUUUUUUGACUUGAACGUUGAAAACCUCUUUCACAAUGCAUGAUUAUUUAACAGAUAUUCCUGAUACUCUCCUUCCAACAUAGAACAAAAAGAAAUGACACAAUGUAGAUCACAGGAACAUUAAGCAACUAUGGGCUACGUUUUUUUAUUAAGUUGCCACACACGCAACCUAUCUGGAUAGUUAUACUAUCUUUUUUUUUUCUGCAGCCUUUAGAACAAUGUAAUUUUCGUUGACCCAUUUAAUGCCAUUCAUCCAUUAUGUGGUCUAUCUAUUUGUGUACCUCAAUGCCGCAGUAAAUUAACAAAGCAUUUUAUAAAAUGUUUUGAGCAUGUGAAACUGGAAAUAAUAUCAUCAAGCAAUUAAAGCAUAAAGAAGACAAGUACAAUUUAUAAUAAGACCCGAAGGAAAAAAUGCAUUCCAUGGUAUCGUUCCCUGACCAAAGACUGCCUCCUGGAAGUACCCUGUCAUAAAGUACAGAUCGCUGAUUUGACAGCACCUGAGAGAUGAAUUCAUAUGUUCAAACUGCGGUUAAAAUGGAACCAUCUUUUGCCAUCUGACUACAGUAGAGUUGGUAGAACCUCAUAUAUAAAAAAAAAACCAAAAAAAAAAAAACAGGAGCAAUCAAGCCAUGUUAUACAUUUAGACAACAUUUCCUUUUCAAAGAUGAAUCUCUACUAGUUUUGUCCUGUCAUCAUGUCGGUUAUUGAUGGGCUGUGAGAACGGUAACCUACGGUGAUUAUUCUGUCAUCUGAAGUGACAUGGAUCUUGGUGUUAUCUGCAUAGUGGUUGUAUUCUGUUCCAUGCCUGGGUUGUCUUCCCAGGACUGACAAUAAUAUUGAACAAUAGUGGUGCUAACAUUGAGUCUUUUGGCAUCCCAGUGUGGAAUGAGUUUAUUUUGGGACAGCGAAAAACCAUCACUAUCGGCUGUGAAUGUGUCUUGAGAAAGAAUGAGAUCCAUUGAGAAGGAUGAUUUACCAUUUAUCUCCUUAACAUACUAUGAACACUAAUGACAUAUGAACAGCAAUGGCAGUAGACAGAAAACAGAGAAUGGAGUCAGCGCUAAUAUAUCAAAAAGAGAUACAAGGGGCAGCAAUCCCAAACAAGGACUCCCUCAAGUGACCUUGGAAUAAAUACAGAAAACAAACAAAUAGAAGGAUGGGACUGCGCCAAUAGACAAAAAUAAAAAGUCCUAAUUGGAAUAUGGAAAUAAAGUCCAAUGUAAUAAAACUUGGUAUUAUGUUCGUCUCUGUAGUUGUGGAAUUUUGCUCCUUCCUGGUAUGUGGAGGAGGGUGAUGGUUGAUGAGAUGGUAGAGAAUGAUCCAACGGGUAUCCAAAUAAAAAAGAAGAGAUAAAACUCACUUUUAGUAGAGCUUAAUCCAGCUCUGGUAUGGAUAGCUUGCAGCAGUAUUAUCCCCGCUUGUAGGAUAUACAGUGAGCUUCCUCUUCAGUGUGAUGAACGGCAACCAGGGGGAAGAUAAAACGAAAAAGCAGUGAUAGUGCAAUAUGUCCCAAAAAGUUGAUAAAAAGGUAUAAAAAUAUAAUAGAUACACUCACAUUUAAUAGAGCUUAUACUAGCUCUAGUAUAGUAGGCAUGCAACGGUAUGAUCCCCGUAUCUGGGAUAUGCGGUGAGCGGUCGUUAAAACAGUUCUUUAAGAUGGUAACAGGAGCUCAGGAAGAAGAUAAUAAAACAGCAAUAGUGCUCUCAGUAAAAUAAUGCUGGAUAAUAAAAUAAAAUAUACUCACAAUAUAUAGGGCAGGCUAACUGCUCUAGGGUAUAGGCACGGGUGGUAUGAUCCCCACCUCAGGAUUCGUUGGAGUAUAGGAGACAAUAGAUAAAAAACAAUAGAUAAAAAGCCAGGUAGUUAAAAAAUAAAAAUAAAUAAAAGAUAGUGGUGCAAGAGAAUAAAAUGACCAAAAUCUAUUUAUUAACAGUAAUUAAAAAAAAUUUGUACAAUAUCCAAACGCGUUUCACCAAUGUAGGCUUUAUCAAUGGAUUAAAAACAUGUUAACCUGGCUUAUUAGGGUUUAUAUAGGCUUAGAGUAACUUUGAAAGUUGCGCCAAAACUGCUCUGACCAAUCACAGAGCAGAUUGUAAUUACUCAUAUAAAACAGUAAAAAAAAACAUAUUAAAUACAUAAAUAUAACUGAUAGGAUUUAAAAUAUAUAAUUAUGGUAUAAAAACGAGGUUUGUGUAAAGAAAUAUAAUUACUAUUUCCUGAAUCAUGUGACGCGCAUCAUAAGCGCGACGUCACUUCCGGUCGCUUGGUAUGCUGGGGCAUGUAGUUGUAUCUUACACUACAUGCCCAAGCUGUCUACCGAGGGGGUUUUAGAGCCAUAUGAUAGGCUCAAGAGGGGGGAAUAACUGUGGACCAGAGGGGAGAGGAAGGGAGAGGGAGGGAAAUAGCCGAAAAACGGCUAGGUAAAGGGAAAGUGAGGGCGCGGCGGCCAUCUUGGUUGGGGAAUGGUUAACAUUAGGGUAUGGAAGAAACAUAGCGGCGGCCAUAUUGGAGGGGGCAGAAAACCAUAUAUACUUUAAAUGGACAUAUUUCUAUAAAGAACAUGUAACUUAAAACUUAUAAUGAAAUAAGGUAUAAUGCUAGUCAACAAAAAGUUAUUAAGGAAAUAAAAUAGGUCUAAAAGUAUAAAAAAGUGCAUAUAUAUAAAAAAGCAGACAGUGAUGAAUAGUAAAAAUACAAUAUUAUAUAAAAUUGAAUAAAUCAAAAUCAGCAUUUAAACCAUUUGGAGUUAGGGUUUUUAAAUUAAAAACCCAUUCCAUUUCACAUUUUCCCAGAAUAUUUUUUAUAUUACCUCCUCUCCAUGGAAUAGUGCAUUUUUUUAUACCAAUACAUUUUAAAUGGCGUGGAUCGUUAUUAUGGAUAGAAAAAUGUUUAGAUACGGUGUGGUUUUGGUAUCCAUUUGUAAUGUUACGACAGUGUUUGCCUAAUCUUGUUUUUAAGCUCCUAGUGGUCAUGCCAACGUACUGCAAACCACAUGGGCAUUCCAGGAGAUAAAUUACAUUCUUAGAUGCACAAGUAAUAAAAUCUUUAAUAUUAUAUAUUUUGUUGGUUUUAUUUGAUUUAAAUUGUGUAGUUUUUGUUUUGGUAGAUAGAUAGUAGACAGGUCUGGCAUUAUAAGCAUAUACAAAUGGCAUCCAUACAUUGUGGAGAUUAGCAACACAGACCAGCAGUCUCUGAUCAUGUUUGGUCCAAGAACCCAAAUGAGCAAUAUCAGAAAUACUAGUUAUUUGCUACAGCUCUUCGACUAUGUCACAUUUUGUGUGUGUGUGUGUGUGUGUGUGUGUGUAUAUAUAAUUUCAAAUAACACUUUUUUUUCCCCCCUGAAAUAUACAGGUACAUGAGAAAUUUCUGAAAAAAAGAGUAAUUUGAGAUUUGGCUGCCUAUUAUUUAUCAAAAUCUAGCCCUUGCAGAAAGGAUACUUUAUCUACACUUUACUUGCUGGAACAUGGGUUACAUUCCUUUAUUAUUUUCAAAUAUUAUUUAUUGAAAAGUUUAAAAUUUUUACAAUAUACAAUAUUUAAAUAUUCAAAAGCAGGUACAGUAAUAAUUAUAUAAUUACAGCAUUAUAUUAUUAUUUUGUAUAUAUUUAACAAUGAUCUCAUUUAAAUCCUUGUUUGCCCUACUGUCACAGACUGCAAGCCCAUUUCGAGCACCUAUAUUGCAGUAUACUGUGCAGACUGCUUUUUGAAAUAUUAGCAAUGCUUACUUGAUGCCAAUUGAUCUUUAUUACUACAGUGGCCUUUUCUCAGAGCAGGAGUCCUGUCUUGUGUGUUUUAUAUUUGUACAUUUGCCUUUAAGCAUGGAUAAUCCUUUGUGUAUUUCUCCUGAUUCGUGUGGACAUGAUGUAUAAAACAGUCAGUGGUACCCUUGCUAGACUUCAGAAAACACAUCACCAUGCUCCUUCAACUUUAAGGGUGUGAUCACCGCAAGUCUGUAUGUAUCAAUCUCAACUGUCAAAGACUGGACUCCAAGAAAAAAACAAAAAAAACAAGCCCUGUAAUACAUGUAACGUUUCAGAACUAUCUUAAAUCUGGAUAUCUUUGCAUAUUACAGCAGAUGAUAAGGAAAGUGACAUAUGCCGAUAGGACACGCAAUCAGUUGUCAAGUGUAAUAUACUAUGUCCCACUUGCACAAUCUAACUUUUCUAAUGCCUAGUCUAAUUUCAUUGAAAAAUAUUACAGACCUGGAACUGUUUGAAAGAUUCCGAGCCAUUAUUGCUGCUGAGAAAGAGAGGAGACCUGUAAGAUAUCUUGUAAAAGAAUGGAUCUUUUUUAAUGAAUUAAAUUAGGUGGUCAUCUCCCUUUUCAAGGGCUUUAUUCACCUAAACAUGCACACUUGAUAAGGGUGUUGUUGAUAACCAAGAGAUAAAACAUAUAAUAAUAAGUGAACUCUACUUUAAACUACCGUAACUUUAAAACACAUAAAAGUUUUAAACCAACAUAAGUUAAAUGGAAAUAAUGGUUAUUUAGUUACAUUUAUUUUUAUAUAGUUUUUUCAUUUUUAAACCUGCUUUACCAAUUUCUGUAUUUCAGUUUCUUUAUAUUCUAGUUGCUUUGUUAUAUAUUCUUUGAGUACAUUUAAAAAUAUAUUUACUGUGUAGCCUUGAACGUAAUGUGACCAUUUAGUAAAAGCAAAGGAUUAUAUUAGGUAUUGAAAAAAGAACAGCAUGUUCUGCUUGUUUCCUUGAGGCUAUAGAAAGGCAAUCUCUCCGUAACCGACAUGUUUCGGGCUAGGUAUGUCUCAUAUUAUUUAAAUGGAAUGUUUGGAGCAACAUCUUCCUAAAAACCUCACAUAUUGUACUUUUAACUCUAUAGAUUCUAAGUUAGAUUUCAUUGCACUUUUGUCAAAUGUACUUUAUAUGUUUUUGAACAGAUUUUGUUUAAAAUAAAUUCAGCAAGUGAUAUCUCUACAGUAACAUGAAUAUUUUUUUUGAUAAUUAACUUUGAAAAAAAUGAUCUGAAUGAAAAUCAUGAGUUUUCUGGAAAUUAUACUAUUGACUAAAACAUUGAAAUACUUUGAAGUCACUGUUCCCCUUCUUGACCGAUGAUGUCAUUAUUCUGUCAUGAUAGCCCGUUUUUUAAAGGACCCAUUGUGGAAUAAUUAUGUUUCGCUGUUGGUACUAAGGAACCUCAGGCAUCACCCAAUAUUUUGUGCUACCCUUUUUCAAGUGGGGCCAUUAUUAGUGGCCCAUAAAUGACAGUGAGCUAUGUGCAACGCUCAAAGUGAGCAUUGCACGCAGCCCUUUAAUCUUCCAUGGCUGAACUUCCGUAUUCAGCUAUGACCCAGUGACGUCAUUACUGAUGUCACCAAAGUUUCUUAUCAGAAGGCCUGAUCAGGUCUUCCUGCACCUGUUGCAGAGGAUAAUCCAUGUUUGGUUGUGCAUGCCUCUUCAUGGGUGAUUUAAGUCAGUGACUACAAAAUUCACUAAGAAGGUGACAAGUAAAGAACCUUCUAGUUACCAAGCGGCUAGAGAGGCUUAAUCUAUGAGACCACCGAGCGUUGUUGUGUUGACUGUGACAGAUAUAUAUAUAUAUAUAUAUAUAUAUAUAUAUUUCUUUUUUUUUUGCAAAAUGCUAACUGUGAUUUGGGCCAUAGGGUGACUUUCUUCAGAGUAUAAAUAUGGGUGAUGGCCUUGUGAGACCACCAUCAUUAGACAUAGAAGGCCUGGAAGGCUAUGCUACUCAUCAACCUAUAACCAGUACAUCUAUCCCUACUUCAGUGACGUAACGAGGGGCAAUUUUUUGAAAUGUGUGAAGAAAAGGAGUUGACAAUUACCUACUAAUAAUAGACAUGGGUGAAGUAAUCCCAGUAUAACAUGAUACGUGUGACUUAGACCUACCCAAUGGGGAAAAAGCAAGCUAAAAGAGCCAAAAUAGUGUGUGUGUGUGGUAAAGUACGCAUAGAAGAGUGCUAAUAGAGAAGAGAGGAUUAUAUUACCUUCCUUAUACAGACAGACUUUAAAAAUGAGACUGCUGGGCCACUAUGACAGUGAGUACCUACUGAAUGAAGGGGGAAUAUGAGUGAGUAUCUAGACUGGCACAAUAACUCUUUCCAGGAACACCUACCUUGCAAAAUAUAGAAGAGGUUUUAUAUAUAAGAAAGUCCCUGAGCGUCACAGAAAUAGUGAGAACCUAGUAAUAUGAGGAAAGUGUAUGGUAAACAUAAGAUCGAAGCUCGCUUAAGUGUAGAGAAAUCAUGCCUAAUGAAACAUAAAUCUAGUUACCGUUAACAAUACACAACCUUUAGAAAUCUACCCCCCAACCUUACUUAAGGCGGCACUGUCAUGCCGAACUUACCUUUCUUUAAUUGAUUGCUCUUCUCUCCCUCUGUCAGGAUCUGUUCUUCAUUUCUUCCUGUCUGCUCUCGUUUUCUUUAAAACAUAAGACAAAGUAGGGACUACUUUGUCUUAUGGAGGUUUCCUACGCCUGACCAGCUGUGACAAACGGAGGAGCAAAGUGUGCUUCAUUUCCGGUGGUCAGAGCAAUUUUCCCACAGUUCUCACCUUUCCUCCGUCAUCUCGCGAUGCUUCCUGUCAGUAUUCCCGAACGUCCUGUCACUUAGACAGAACGCCGGUGAAACUACCGAAUUUCGUCCUAACAGAAUGAGAAUAGUUUCUCCAUUCGUGUUAGGAAGCAUUUCGGGACAUUGUUCGGAUCGGAAUUUCAUUUGAAUGAAUGAAACUCCGAUCCUAUUCGUGCCACAGCUGCAUCUUGCAGCCGCUUAGUAGAUAGCUCCCCAAUUCCCACGGUAUCAUGGAGCUAUCUGCCAAAAGGCUGAAAGACCUAAAUUGGUCUUUCAGCCAAAUUUACUAAUACUAUGUAAAGAUUACUUAGUAUUAGUAAAUUCUGCCCCUACUUGCUAUCAUGUCUAUUAAACAGUGAGCAGCCUGUGAGUCUUUUCUCUUGCCCAUUUUUCCUGAAUUUAACACAUGAAAUUCAAAAACUGUUCACUUGCUCCCUAAUAUAUCACACCCAUUUACAGGUGCCAUUGCAACAAUAUAAUGUUAUUCACUUCCCCUGUCAGUGUUUUUAAUACUGUUGCUGAUUAGUGUGUGCAUGUUUGUGUUUUUGUAUGCAAGUAUUUAUGUGUAUCUCAUAAUGAAAUGUGCCACACACUUAUGUGUUUUUGUAUGCAAGUAAUUCUUGCAUUAAGGAAUUUCUUUUAUUGCAGGACUUUGAUUAAAAUAAUUUUCUGUGUUUUAUAUGUACAGUGAUGCAAAUAUAUCUUACAAAAAAGUACGCUUUUAAUGUUGUGCUCAUUUAAAAGCCACGUUUUGUAUUUAAUUUGUUUUUUUUAUUUCUGACAUUUUUCCCGUUGGGGGUUUGUUAGGAAAAUCCAAUAAUGUAUGCUGUGAGCAUGUUUCACAGUAAAUAUGUGCAUUUGCAGAAGCACUACGCAAGGUGAAAAAAUUCCAACCUACAUGGUUUUUAAAUUGAAGUGGAAAAAUACUGCUCAGGGGAAGCUAGAAAAUCCAAAAUAGGUCGGUACUAUAAUAGAAUUGUCAGUUUAAACUAAAAGGAAAGUGACAUUUAAAAAAAAAAAUCGACGUCGUGGACGAAAAAGUUUGGCUACAGAUACAAAAAAAAAAAUGCAUUGUUCAAAACUUUGGAAAUAGGGCAUCUAAUGCACUGAAGGAAAGCAAUAUGUUACUAGUUUAAGGAGAAUAAGUGGAACUUUUAUAUAAAAUUCAAUGCUUCCUUUUGCAGUUAACAUAUGCACGGAGCUUUUUAAAGUGCCGCUGCCAUCCCAAACUUAAUUAUUCUCUAAUCGUUUUCCUUUAUCUUCCCCUGACAGAAUCUGUUCUUCUACUUUUCUUAAUUUCUGAUCUAUUUCUCUUUACAAAUAUAAGGCAACGUAAGGACUACUUUGCCCUAUGUAUAUUUCCUCCACUUGACAGAGUAGAGAUUAAAGGAACACUGUAGGCACUUUAACUGCUUCAAUCAUUAAAGUGGCUACAUUGUCUGCAGUCCCCUGGUGCCAUCCUUUAAUUUUUUCAUCCAGUGUUAAACUGUUUUAAAUAUUUUAAUAGUGCAUGAGAGUCCCCAGUAGCUGGUCCUUGUGAGGAAGUAUGAGCCUAAGCAACAAUGGGCAGCUGUGAUUGGUUGAGAGUGUCAGCUGACCAAUAAGGACUUGUAGAGUUGGGAGGGGGGCGGUGGCACAAGGUCACAUCAGUGCCACUUCAAGACCAGCUUUUUAUGUUUUUUGGCUUAAGUAAGUAUUGUCAUAUUUGUGCCAAAAAAUUGAUUAACACUUGGGUGAGGGGCCUAUUUUACAUACAUUUUCUUUCAUUCUUUGUAUUUGCUACCAAUUGGUGAACUUUAAACUGCGAGUGAGAGACUGUGGCGGAUCUACCACGGUGACAGGAGGCCCAGCUACCCUGUCAACCCUCUGCUUAGUGGCAGAGCUACAGGGAUCGCUGAGGCCUUAUAUGCAACCAUGCCCUCCGCAUUCUGCUUGUCGGAGGUGGCCGACUGACCACCAUAGGGCCCUGCAAGUCCGGGGAAUAUCCACUACAGGUAGGCACCUGCUUAACUGGACGGUAGGAGCCUACUCUGGCGAAAUGUAUGCAUCCAGGGGGGAGAUAGAGGCGGCGUCAAGGGAGCACUGAUGUACCUGCUCUUCGCCAUGUUUCAGACAUCGCACUGCAUUUCUGCAGGUACCUUUAGCAAUGUACACACAGAUUUUUUAAAUAAAGAAUAUAGGUGUAUGAAUGACAAUUGCUUGCAUGUGAGAAAGGCGUUUGGAAACUUUAAAAAUAUAUACUUUCUCAAAAGACUAAAGUGGUAUUCUAAUCUACUUGCCCAUGGGCAUAGAGUCUCAAUCUCUGGCCCCUAUCUUCUUUCCCUCAGUCUCCCAUCCCAUCCCCCAGGUAGUGUGAUGUGUGUACUGGCAGGGUGUAGUGUGUGUUGUUUAGUAUGUAUGUGUGCUGGCUUGUGUAUUGUGUGCUGACUGUAUGGAGGAAAAAUGGAAAAGCAAAAUGAUUUUUCAUAAGGGCCAAUUAGAGAUGGUUAGAUGACUGGGUCAGAGCAUCUCCAAAAUGGCAAGUCUUAUGGAGAGUUCCCGGUUUGCAGUGGUUAAUAACAACCAACUCUUUGAUGCACUUGGAGAGCAAAGGCUAGCCGUAUGGUCUGAUCACACAGAAGAGCUUUUGUAGCUAAGAUUGAUGAAACUUAAUGCUGGUCAUAAUAGAAAGGUGUCAGAACUCAUGGUGCAUAAGAGUUUGCUGUGUAUGGGGAUGCAUAGCCGCAGAUCGGUUAGAGUGCCAAUGAUGACUUCUGUCCACUGCCGAAAGCACCUUCAGUGUAGUUGUCAGUGUCAGAACUGAACCAUGGAGUAAUGGAAGAAGGUUGCCUUGUCUGAAGAAUCAUGUAUUUUUUUUUUUUAAAUAAAUAAAAUAAAUCAGAUUGCUGUGUGUCAUUUAUCUGGGAAAGAAAUAGUAACAGUAUGCACUAUGGAAAGAAGGCCGGCAGAGUCCGUGUUCUGCUGGGAAACCUUGGGUCCUGGCUUUCAUUUGUGGCAUUUGACAUGUGCCACCUAUCUAGAGAUUGUUACAAACCACAUAUCUCCCUUCAUGGCAAUGGUGUUUCCGGAUAGCAGUGGCCUCUUUUAGCAGGAUAAUGCACAUUGGCACACUGCAAACAUUGUUCUGGAAUGGUUUGGGGAACAUGACAAAGAGUUCCAGGUGUUGUCUUGUCCUCCAAAUUCCCCAGAUCUGAAUCCGAUUGAGCAUCUUUGUAAUGUGCUGGAACAACAGAUCUGAUCCAUGGAGUCUUCACCUUGCAACUUGCAGGACUUGUGCCAGACACAACAGGACACAUUCACAAGUCUUGGGGACGCAUCAGAGCUCUUUUGCCUCUACACAAUAUAAUGCAGGUGGUUUUAAUGUGCUUGCUGGAGUUUUAGAACGCAGUUCAGUGAUACAUUCUACUCACAUGAACACUUUUGAAAAUGUGAGUGGGAUGAUUGCUUUAUACUUCAGUUUUUAAUGCAUAUAAUAAAAAGUAUUAUAACAGUAGGAUAUAGCUAAUAUUAGAAUGAAUAACAAGUAAAGCUGUGAAAGUGACCGUGCCAAUCCAGAUUGUAAUACGGCAGAGCUGUGCUGAUUUUGCAAAAGAACGGGAGAAAAGAUUGUUAUUCUGUCAUUUCACAUUCCGGAGUCUUAAUAUAGCCAUCAGGAUAUGAAUUGCACUUUUGUUCUCCACACCAAGAUAUUUACAAAUUGCAAAUGGGUACAAAGACAGAUGAUGAAGUUAAUCAUGAGGAUGAUUUAUGGGCAAAGGGUAGCACAAUAUAAUUUUGUCUGUAUAGGAAAAAUUGAAUUGCAGAACCUAAGUUAAUUGCAGAAGUAAAAAUCGCAGGAAAAAAAGGAAAAUACCCAACCCUCUGCUGCUCCUCUGGGAAUGAAAUCACAACAUCAGCUUUCAUAUUUAUUUUCUACAGAGGAAGGAAAUAUACAAACAAACUUGAAAGAAAAUAAAGAUAGAUCAAGCUCACAGGUGCUUAAUUCGUUAUUUCUUUACAAUGUUUAAAUAAAACUGGUAGAUUACUGGCAGGAAAUGGCCCGAAAAGGCAUUAGAAAACUGGCAAACCUUCAGAGAAAUGCAAUAAAAUUAGAAAAAGGAAUUGCAUUAUGAAGAAAAAUUGGAUAAUCUGUUUUUAUUUUAUUGAAGCAGUACACAAACCAUUAUUAUUGUUCAGUUGCACUGACCAUGUUGACUUACCUUGUAAUCAGAAAAAAUCCAAUGAAAUCUUCUUGAUCAUAUAAGCCACGCAUGUCAAACUCGCGGCCCACAAUGAAUAUUUUUGUGGCCCAGUGAGGCGCACGUUUGCCAUGCUUACUAAAGCAGAGCAUUUAAACUGGAGCAAAAUAUAUAUAUUUUUUAAUUAAUAAAUUUAAAGUCCAGCCUUAUAGCAUAUUACUGUGGACUUAUCUUUUAAAUUAAAAUGAUUUACAAGUAUGUGAUUAAAAGUGAAUGUAAUACGUUUUGUGAGAGAAGUUGAUCACAUAUCAGUAAUACUAUUUGUAAUAUACUGAACUUUGAUUAAAUUCAGUGCAUGGGCUUUAUAAAACAGUGGAUCUGUUACGUUUCAGGGUUUUUGAAUAUUCUGUAAAGACCUCCCUUCCCCCAAGGUGACCUCUCCAGGUAGGAUCAAGUGAUCCACGGGUGCAGUGACAAGUCGGUUUUACUAACCUUAAGCUGUCUUUCUCAGCCGCUGCCAUUUUCUUAAUUUAAGGCUUUUUGUCUGGAGCAGCUUCCAUACUGUACUCUUGCGAAUGCACAGGAAUACAAUACUGAGGUCUAUGGAGGGUCUAUGAGGGUUUAUUUCUGAUGACUUUGUUGGGUAAUCUAAAACAAUUGCAUAGUUUGUAUACCCCUUUGAAGCUCUGUGAGUUUAAGUAUUUCGGAUUGUAAAGUCCCAUUGAGUAAUAAACCAUUGUUCUCGUUACCCUUGUACACCUACAGCUCACAAAUUAAACUGUAGAUAAGUAUUCCUCCUGUUUACUUUUAAGGUUACAAAACACAAAGUUCCUUUGACCUGUGUUGAAACAGCCUUACGUAAUGUCCAAGCCAGUCUACCAACAUCCAUAUUGUUUUCUGGAUAUUAGAAUUUCAUACUUUUCCAAAUAGCACAACAACUUAAAGGUAGGCAGACAAUGUAAUAGAGCAGCAGGAAAUGCUAGCAGAAUGCUUAGUUGUAUAGGGAGAGGUAUUAGCAGUAGAAAGAGGGAAGUGCUCAUGCCAUUGUACAGAACACUGGUGAGACCUCACUUGGAGUUUUGUACGCAGUACUGGAGACCGUAUCUCCAGAAGGAUAUUGAUACUUUAGAGAGAGUUCAGAGAAGGGCUACUAAACUGGUUCAUAGAGAUGAGAUGGGGGGAUAUGAUAGAAAAUUUAAAUACAUUAAGGGAAUCAACACAGUAAAAGAGGAGACUAUAUUUAAAAGAAGAAAAACUACCACAACAAGAGGACAUAGUCUUAAAUGAGAGGGACAAAGGUUUAAAAAUAAUAUCAGGAAGUAUUACUUUACUGAGAGGCUAGUGGAUGCAUGGAAUAGCCUUCCAGCUGAAAUGGGAGAGGUUAACUCGGUAAAGGAGUUUAAGCAUGAGUGGGAUAUUCAUAAGGCUAUCCUAACUAUAGGAUAAGGCCAGGGACUAAUGAAAGUAUUUAGAAAAUUGGGCAGACUAGAUGGGCCGAAUGGUUCUUAUCUGCCGUCACAUUCUAUGUUUCUAUGUCUGGCAAGACCUUGGUAGCUGUAUAGUUGGUGUCUGGCAAUGAGCAAGAUCAUCAAUGAAUCCUGGGAUACUAGACAAGUUGGCGGCACGGAUCCGCCUUUUGUCAACCUCAGAUUUACCAAUGUCUUAUUUAGUUUUUGGAUUGCAUUGAACUUUGAAUAUACCAAUGUUUAUAUUUUUUUGGUCCCAAAAUGUCUGUACUUACUCUUUGGUCACUGAUUAUGAUUUCAAAUCCAGCUGUGUAUUAAUUGGAUGAAUGCAAAAAGCUUUGUUUUUGUUUUUUAGCGGUGUUCAAGCAUGGUGCGUUAAUGAAUACGGCAAAAUGAUCUUAAGAACUUGUCAUUUCAGCUUAUGAUCGUGAUAUACACCUGUAAUAUCUCUUUUUUUAAAACCUGACUUUACCUUUACCAGAGAAAUAAACUUGAACUAUUUUAUUUUUAUAUUUAAACUUGAUAGGGCAAUGGGUAGCAAAACAUCCAAAACUGACAAAGUUUAAAAAAAAAAAGUCAAAUCUAAAUAAGGGAAUAUUUAUGACCUUUUAUACAGAGCUUCCAAACAUGCUUUGCUUGUAUACAAUGCAGUGUUUGACUGUUUCUUUACUGAGCCCACAAGGGAAUUUCGUUUGAGCACAUUGUGUCUGCUUGUUUUAAGUAGUAAGACUGAAAUUUGAAAUAAGACUCACACUGCAUGAACUGGCAACAUGUUUUGGCAGGACACAUUGGAAGUCUGACUGUGUGUUACUGAUUUGUGGUGAUAUGCACUCCCACCUAUGAUAUAUGCUCCCACCUAUCUAUCCUCCCUUAUACACAAGUAUGUCUCGUCUAGGCCCUUAAGAUCUGCUGAAGACUUACGUCUAUCUUCUGUCCGUACUCCCACCUCUGAUGCUCGCCUUCAAGAUUUCUUGAGGGCUGCACCGUUCCUGUGGAACUCGCUUCCCUCCUCCGUUAGAUGCUCACCCAGUCUCCACUCCUUCAAAAAAUCGUUAAAAACCCACUUCUUCAUUAAAGCGUAUUAAUUAAACUGUUAAUAGCUCCUGACUGAUUCCUCUUCUGCAACUGUCACUAGUCUAAUACUAUCCUUACCUCUUUGUGUCAUUUCACCCCACUCCCUCUAGCAUGUAAGCUCAUUGAGCAGGGCCCUCAACCCCUCUGUUCCUGUGUGUCCAACUUGUCUGGUUACAACUACAUGUCUGUUCGUCUACCCAUUGUAAAGCGCUGCGGAAUUUGACGGCGCUCUAUAAAUAUUAGAAUAAUAAUAUACACAUUAAGAGAUUGGCUAUGAUUCCUAAAGAAAGUCAAUGCUGGGUGGCAGGUGAACAAAUGCUUGUGCAGAAAAGAACGUUUUAGGAGAUAUGUUAUUGUAUCCAUUAGUUACAAAGGCUGAAAAGAGACGUGUCCAUCGAGUUCCAUCUUCAUCACAUUUGUUUUCAGCUGUUACAGAGUGACACCCAUGAAGUUUAGCAAUUUGCAGCGCUGGAACAGAGGUAAGGUGAGUAAAUCACAAUAUUUAACUAAAAAAAAAUAUGAAAUAUGAUGUAUUUAUUGUAUUUGGGAGAUUUAGCUAAAGUUUGAAAGCACAUAACACGUUCACUUGAAACUUUUCCCAAACAAUUUGGCAAAAAAACAGGAGACCAUGCUGAUAAGCUCUUGACACCAUAACAACUGCAAAGAGCGGUAGUGCCUUUGAUGUUUAUAAACUGCCUCUUUAACGUAUCUUGUAUUUUCCAUCUUAUUAACCCAUAGGAGAAACAAUUGCAAAUCUCUAGGAAAACCUCCAUAAUUGUAGUGUGCUAGACAGCUUGAUGGAAUUACAUUUUAUUUUUCUUCAAAAUUAUAAAUAAAUCGUUCUCAUUAAAUGGUUGUGUUUUCUGAAAGUAAAUUAACUAAUUUAGCUUUGUUUCUUUUAUGUCUGAUUCUUAAAUGUGCCGCUAGGUUAAUUUCCUUGCUUCUUUGUUACUCUAUUUCUUCUGUGAAUUCUAACGACUAUUUUGAUUUACAAAAAAAUAGCUCCAAGAAGUACAAAAUAAAAUUAUAGUUGUUUAUGUUUUAAUUAAAAAUUGGUAAUGUGCAGGUAAUUUUGGGGGGAAAAAAACAAUCAUAUAAGUGACUUUAAAAGAAAAUAUUGCAUUGAUUAAAGGGAUACUCCAUUGUCCAAAUACAAAAUCUAUAAAAAUCCCUGUUUAGUAUAUAAACCCUAAAUGAAAACGUGCAUAUAUAUUAUGCUUUUUUCAUUGCGGUUAUAUCUAAAAACCAGCUUGCAAAUCUCUUGUCUGCUGUUUUUUUUCUAAAUUUAUUCAACUGUUCAGUAAAUGAAAACUCGUUAUUUUUUCAUUUUUAUAGUUAUACUUGACAGUUGAGUCUGGGAAGUAAUAAAAGUAACCUUUAGACAAUGAUAAUGAACAGGGAAAAGGUUGGCAAUUCCAUAAGGUAUUUGGUGUGAGAGAUACACAUAACAGUAAGUAAACAGUAGUAGUUCUGGUUAACAGAGGUUGAUCAGUGCCAGGGCCGCCAUCAGGGGGUGACAACCAUGAUGGUUGUCACGGGUCCGGCGGUCCUGGGGGGCCCAGACCCGGGCCCAACUUUCCCUUUCUGCACACAUAGAUAGCGAAUAUCUCUAUGUGUGCAGCCGCGGGCCCCCGGCUCCCUGUUAUCGCAGAGGGGGCCCAGCACACUGCCUCUACUCUUCUCUUCUCCUCUCUUCUAAUAACUCUUGCGAGACUUGUGGCCUUCUGAGCGUUGCCAUGGCGUUGCCUGCUAAUGGGCCUGCAAUCCUGCUAGGCCUCAGGGCCAUAUAAUAUGAUAAGCUUGCAAAUGUUAUUAUUUUGGGACCCUUUGUUCAAUACAUGUUUGAUACAUUUGUACGCCAUAUAAUAGAUUUAGCUGAAGCUCAGCAAAGGUGCAUUCGUGAGAACAGUAUAUUGUUUUAAGGGCUACAAUAAUUAUUUAAAGGAGCACUAUAGGGUCAGGUACACAAACUUGUAUUCCUGACCCUAUAGGGUUAAAACCACCAUCUAGCCCCAGUUUCCUUCAUGCUUCCCUAAAAGUAGUAAAAUCUUACUUGUAUUCAAGCCUGAAGCUGCCUGAAGGGGCUUUGUCCCUGUUUCCUUUUGGCCUGCCCAGUGCCUGCUGACAUCAUCAGAAGUGGUGGCCUGAUCCAAUCACAGUACUUCACCAUAGGAUUGGCUGAGAAUGACAAGGAGGCAGAUCAGGGGCAGAGCCAGCAUGAUUCAAACACAGCCCUGGCCAAUCAGCAUCUCUUCAUAGAGAUGCAUUGAAUAAUACUGAAGGAGAUACUGAAUGUUUGGAUGCAUUUUAGGCAGUCAUGACCCAGGAAGGAUCUUAAACAGCCAUCUGAGGAGUGGCCAGUGAAGUUAUCACUAGGCUGUAAUGUAAACACUGCAUUUUCUCUGAAAAUACAGUGUUUACAGCAAAAAGCCUGAAGGUAAUGAUUCUACUCACCAGAACAAAUUCAAUAAGCUGUAGUUGUUCUGGUGACUAUAGUGCCCCUUUAAAUGGUGACUAACUGCACCUUUAAAGAGAAUAAUUUCAAUAUGCAGUUAGUUUCAGACUAGUACUAUAUUGUUCUACACACAGUAUAAACUUAAACAAUAAAGAGAAGAUACUUUAUAUCACCCAGGUAAACCCUUAAGAAAAAGGUUUUCCCUUUCCAAAAGUGUAAGCCAUUUGUUGGGUAUAACCACUAUAAAAAGUGACGUAAAAGACAUAAAGUGCCCUUAAGAGGAGACGCAGCCUCUCAAUAUAUACCAUUAAGAGAGAUCAGGGUUUAUACCCUGUAAUUGGAUUGGUAUUGGCACAGUUGUACCAUAGGGCAAAGUUCCCAGACUUCUCCUUUACCCCAUAUUUCAACAUAUUUUUAAUGUUCUUUUCAAUAGUUCAAUGAAAGUACCUAUUGGAUUUAAUUGAGAGUCUGACCUUUCUUUUUCUAAAUGCCUGAUUUAUGCAUUGGCCUAUCUCCUUAGUAAGUCAAUCUUUAACCAAAGAUCCCACACGGUUGUGUUUUUGCCCACCCUUCUCCCCCCUUAAAUCUGUUUAUUGUCUCUUCUGUACUUUAACAUAACUUUUUUCUGUAAUAUCACCUUAUUCCAGACUGCCUAGUGAAACGAUUACAUUGCAGACUUUAAUAUGACCUUAUGAAAAAAACACUGCACUCAGAAUAUUGCUAAGUCAACCACGCUUUCUUUUGAAAUAUUGCUAAGGAUAAUGCUAAUAUCAAAAUCCAAGACCUCUUCUAUUCUGUGCAGCUUAUAUGUGCAUAGUAAUAAUGUUGUGUAUAACAAAUCUGUCUCCUGAUUUGUUAUUCUAUUAUGAGUAAUACUUGGCAAGGACAAUAAUAAGAAACAAAAUAGGCAACAAAUCUUUUUUUAAGAAGGAUUAAAAAAAAUAAAAAAAAGUACUUCAAUUAAUCUUUUUUAUUUUGUAUUCUACUUUUUUUCUAUGUGUGUCUGAAGGGAGCUGUGUGUGUAGUGUUUGUGUUUGUGAGGGGGCAGUGUGGGUAAGAGGUCCAGUGUGGGGGGGUACUGUGCAUGUGUGAGGGAUGCUAUGUGUGAAGGGGGCAGCGCAUGUGAGGGGUGGAGUGUGUGUGAGGGGUGGAGUAAGUAUUUGUGUGUGAAGGGUGGAUACAGUCUAUGCUGUGUGUAUGUGGGUGAGAUGUGAAAAUCUAUAUUAAUGUCUCCCCUCGCUUCUUUUUACCUUUUACCAGGGAGGGGGGACUUAAUGCUGAAAGCCCUGGUGGUCCAGUGGUGGCAUAUUCGCUUCAGCCUGCAGCUCCUCCGGCUGCAGCCUGACUCUCCUGUUGUCCUGCGAGCACAGCACUGUAUCGGAGCAUUGCCAUGGUAAUGUGCGGCAAUGCUCUGACCAGCCUGCUUGCUGGAGGAACACAGGGCCUUCCCUCCCUCCGCUCGAUGAACUAAGUGCCAGAGGGUUGGUGAGGGAGAUCUUUGAUCUCCUAAACAGCACGAGAGGGCUUACAGCAAGAUGAAAGGAUCUCCCAUGCCGGCCUUUGCCCACGGCCAUCGAGGCCCACCCGGGCGUUUUCUGCAGAACCCACCACCGCCCACCUGAGAUCCCAAACCACACAAGGUUGACUACCCUGGAUAUAGAUGAUCAAUGCCUUCCUGAGCAGUGUUUUAUCAAUUGCUCCUUCACAUUCUCUAUAGAUCUCAAUACUCUUCUCAAACAUGUUCUGGAGCCUCCAGUGAUUUAGUUAUUCUUUGCUUAUCAGCUGUCUCAGUUUGCCUGAAUAAUUUUGCAUGUUUCUAUUUUAUUUUUUUGCUGACAGUUUUAGCCGGGGGUUGUUUGGGGGUUUCCUUUAAGUAGUUGAAGGAAACUCCCAAACAACCCCUCGCUAGAUUUUCACAUCUCACCCACAUACACACAGCAUAGACUGUAUCCACCCUUCACACACAAAAACAUUUCCUUUAAGUAGUUGACAAAUUACUUGCCCCCUCAACCCCCCGCCCCCCCCUUUUUUUUUUAAUACAGAUCUUCAACAUUUGGUUUGUAUUCUUCCAUCUCAGCUUCCAUUCUCUUCAUUUUUUGGCACUGUUUAUAGCCAUCUAAAUAAGCCUUUUUUUUUUUAUUUUUUUAAGUACUUGGGAUUUUUUUCAGAGGACUUUAACACAGUUUAGCAAGAUGCUCAUGAAUCUACAAUAAUUAUCCAUGUAGGUGACAAGUGCUGACUCAAAUAAAAUGUGGAAGUCUGCAUGUCUUCCAGGCAAUGUUUAUUAAGUUUAAGUCUGUGCCGUUUGGUGUGUAGUUUAUCUAAAAUAGCUCCAGGCUUGGAGAAACCACUCCAUUCUGAUAUCUAUUCUGAUUCCAAUUUAUUAAUGAUGAUGGAGUGUAGACAGACAGUGCAGAAGAAAAAGAAGCCCAAGUACAUGAACCACGUUCCAGCAUUUACAGCACCAUUAUGAUGUGAACAUAAGUGAGCAAGGAGAAUUUGAAGAGAAGCUUUAGAUUACUUUUUCUGAAAAUUUUGGAAUGUGAAAUGAUAGCGGAGAUAUGGAGAACAUAUCAUGCAAUUGGAGAGGCAAGCUACAAAGCAAACUGAAAACAAGCCGGGCAAGAGGAGGGGGUUGGCUGGGUGGGUUAGUGAAAAUAAAUAUAUAUUAUUUUUUUUUUACUGGGAGAUGGACUGUUGUCAGAUUGACCUCUAACUAGGGUGAAUGGAAGGAUGGAUAAAACGUGAGUGGAGUUCAGUAUAAAUGGGCUAUUUGUAUGUUGUUGAGUAAUGAUGAAUGUAUUGAUCACUAUCACUAUGGCCAAAAAAAAUGCAUAUAUAGGUAAAUAGUGCUAGUCCAUCAAAUGCAACAAGCAGCAAAAUGACUGUGCAGCUUACACAAACCCAGAAAUCAUACCGCAAUCAGUGCACUGAGAAUUAUGGAAAUUAUAACCAUGUAUGGAAAUGAUUAGGGAAAGCACACAUGAAUAAAUGUUAUUGCAAGGGUAAAAGGCAUAAGACUUUUGCAUGCGUUUACUUCAUUAAACUAUUGUCAUUUCAGGGUCAUAUAAUAAAGAUUUUUUUUCUUUCUUCUUCAAAUUAAUGCAAUGUUGCAGAUGUUAAAAAGGAAAAAUGCUCCCUGCCUUAUCUCUUUGUUUGGUACAAAUUGAUGUAAUUUUAUUCAACAUUUUAUAUUUGUAACAGAAAGGGAUUAAUGAAUGCCCAGCUAAGAAUCCAGCUCUAUUCUCACUAUGUGGUUCAUCCCCUUCAGUUUGCCACCUGGAACUUCCAUGGGGAUAUCACACAGCAAGUGCUGCUCAACCAGCAGGCUGAUUUCCAACUGAUCAUCUCUCUGAAGGCAUUAGGACCUUUGCCACUGUCAAACAUUUUCAGGGGAGAUUAAGCACACUCACUGAAGUAAUCUCUGGUCUUUUGUAGCAAAAAAAAAAGCAUUAGAGUGUGGUUAAAAAAUGUAUUAACCCCCAUGCAAAUGUACAUUUUGGAAACUAGACUGUUGGAGAACCAAGGAACAUAUUUUUAAAAUACUCAUAAAGAAGCAUUGAGAGGCAAUGCGCAUGUGUGUCAAUUAUCAUGCUUCACUUGCAAUGCUUCUUUUUGAGAAGCAUGGCCAUCCACUUUGUACUGAAGCACAAAGCAAUCCGGAAGAGCACCAUCCCAGCUGUCUGACAAGAUCGCAACUUAGAAACUUUAUAAAAGCGCCAAUUUCUCUUAACUCUUUUAACACUGAUGGGUUUGAAGUUGUAUAUGAAUUUUAAUGCAAUGGAGCAAAUCAAUAUAUAGUUUUUGGGCAUGCUAUCAGAUAUUUUAUAUAUAUAAAAAAUGGUGUUCAUGAAGCAGAGCUAUUUUAAUUUUGUAUCGGCUGCUGUAAUGCAUUCAGAUUUGCUUAACAUCCUAGAUGCUUGACAAGGGGAAGAUUUUUUUAAAUUUAUUUAUUUAUUUAUUUUUUUUGAGGAUGUCACAAGUAACCCUUGUUGAUCUUUGCCAUAGGUCCUGCAUUGUGAUUGUGGUUCCCAAAUGUAGAGCAAGGGUUGAAUUGCAGCUGGUCACAAAAGUGCUUUUAAAAAUCAGAAACCUGAUUUUUAGUGCUUGGGCUCCCUGGUUUGUAUUAGACAAAAUUCUGCUAGGUCUUAAAAAACUAAAGCAAAUAGCUUACGGGAUGCCAAAACAGAUUCUGAACAAAUGCUGGUGUAAGUCCUCUUGAUGUGGAAUUUCAGUUGUUGAAAAUAUGUUCACUUUUGCCGAUGUUUUCAUUUUAACAUAUGGUCCCUAGCUGUGAAAAAUGUUCAUCAAAGACAAAUAGAAAAACAGUUCAGUUCUGCAAAGUAUAAAUGGGUUUAUGGCAUAAAAAGAGAAUGUUAAAAAUUGCUUUUGUUUCUUUUACUAUCACGUAUACAGGCAGCGCAUACAGAAUAUAAAUGCUUAUGCUUUUCAAACUACUGUCAUUUGUAACAAAUGUUGGAAGCCUAUUUUUGUGCAUUAUUUAUGUUUUAUUUCUAUCUGUACUGGCCUAAUAGAAGACUGAAUAUAUGCCAUAGUACAUCAAAGUUUAGAGUUAAAAUAAACUGAUUGUGUGUCGGUUUAGAUGAUGAGGCCCCCUCCAAUCACAUGGGAAAUGUAUUUUUAUUCCCCCCUUUACCCACACCGUGCUGGUGACGCAGCGACUAGCCCCACCUCCUUGGCUGAGGUCCUCAAUCUUGAUGAUCUCAGCCAAUCCAAUACUUCCCCAUAGGAAAGCAUUGGCAGACUAUUGCGCAUGUGCGGCAAAAUGCCACUGUGCCAAUCAACUUCUCCUCAAAGUGCACAUUGAAUCAAUGCAUCACCAUAGGGAACAUUAGCAUAGUUGCUGCACAGUGUGAACCACUGACCUAGGAAGCAUCUCAACUGGCCAAUGAGUGACUGUCAUUAGAGGUGUCACCAGGCAGCAAUGUAAGCACUGCCCUUUGUCUGAAGACUCAGUGUUUAUAUUGAAAAGCAUCCAGAGGCAGGAAAUAGACUUCAGAACAACUAAAUUAAGCUGUAGUGGUUCUUGUGACUAUAGUGUCCCUGUAAGAAUUGUAUUUUUUUGCAUUGAAAAACAGAACUCCUAACUUUUUUUUAGCUGGCUCCUAGAUCCCAAGCAAAUUUGUCAAGCCUUGCCCUAAGGUAUGACUGGACGAACUGUAGAUCCCCAAGUAUUGUAGAACUGCAACUUCCAUACUUUGCCAUUCUGAAAGCUUGUAAAGCAUCAUGGCAGUUCAAGUUCUACAACAUCUGGGGAUAUACUGUUUUCCCAGCCCUGCUAUAAAGUAUUGUAGGGUAAGUAAAGUUAUCAUCUAAAUAUUUUAUAUUGAAUGCAUCAUUUAGCUCUAUGAUAAAUUAUGUAUUCUUUGACUGUAGGGCACUUUCCAUUAAAGUAAACCUGUCAUGAAGGGUUCACUUUAAAGGAACACACUAAACAUUAUAACCACUAUAGCUUUUGUUGUAGUUAUGGUACAAGGAGUCUUCGGAUGCAAUUCAUUUGCAAAUUUUCGAGUAGUUUCUGGGCUCUCUUGGCACCCAAAGGUUGGCCUGACCCAUUGUAUGCUGCUCAGAUGGACGUUUUUCUGCUUGAUCCAUCCAAACUUUGAUGGCCGGGAUAGGUUGUAAGGACUAGGAAAGUUAGGUAAUGUUGAACUCCAUAUUCUUGUGUCUGUUUGAGGAAGAUUUGAUCAUUCCAUUCUUCCAGUUUCAUUAAAAGAAUACUACCGUUAUUUUUGUUCUUUCAUUUAAGUUUAAGGCAGCUCUCCAAUGUAUGUAAAUAUAAAUUCUUUAUGAAAUACUCAUAGACUACACAAUCAAAAUAUGUAAUAAGACAAGCUUGAUGUUGACCAAGACAUAACUUUAUCAAUUUCCAUAGCUGUCACUAUCGUGGGCUAUGGAAAACAGGCAUGUUCUCAUGUGUUGUGGCAUUAGGUCUACAGAGGGUCCUUAUCGGACCUUUCAUAGACCUCUGUGCUGUAGUUAGAUAAUUACAUACAACAUACAAUUCUUAGAUUCAUUGAGAGGUCUUUUUGGUCCAUUGUUUAUCAUGGAAACAUCACAUAAUAAACAUACAGAUUGACUUUGCUAUUCUUCCAGAAUGUAUUGCAUGCUAUGCAAUGUGUGCAAAAAAAUCCACCACCACUAGUAUGCUCUUCUGAAGAGCCGUAUAAUAUAAUAGUUUAACAGUACAGUGCAUACUGUUUAUGAGGGAACAUAUAAGACACAUUCAUUUUAAUAUUUCAUAUGUCCAAAUAAUGAACAUUUCUCUUCUAUUUAUAAGAUUCUGUAUGCACAUAAAAUAUAUAAAGGAUGUUUUGGGUUUUUUUUCACCCUGGAAUCUUUUUUUAUUUUUGAAGGUGCUUUCUAAGCUCCAUAACCACUAACAGUAUGCAUAUGAAAGCAAGGUAUUAAUAAAAGCAAUGAAAGCAAUGUAUGAAAGCAAUGUAUUAAUAAUCACUUUGAAGGACCACUAUUGUGCCAGGAAAACAAACUAAUUUUCCUGGCUCUAUAGGGUCUUUGGGUCCCCCAUGCCCUCAGGGUCCCCCUCCUGCCGGGAUGAAGGGGGAGGAAGGGGUUAAACUCUUACCUUUCUCCAGGGACUCUCCUACCUCUUCCGACAUCAUCCACCGAAAGCGCAUGUGCGGCAGGACCCCCCCCCGCGCGCAUUCAAUCAGUACAUAGGAAAGCAUUUCUCAAUGCUUUCGUAUGGACACUGGCGUCUUCUCACUGUGAAAAUCAUAGUGAGAAGUGCGGAAGUGCCUCUAGCGGCUGUUAAUGAGACAGCCGCUAGAGGCUGGAUUAAGAGAAACUGCUAUGUUUUUAGCUGCAGGGUUAACCCUAGAUGGACCUGGCACCCAGACCACUUCAUUGAGCUGAAGUGGUCUGGGUGCCUGUAGUGGUCCUUUAAGCUACCUUAAAAGACAAAAUGGAUAAGCAGCGCAGAGCCAGAUUAAGAUUGACUAGGGCUCUAGGCAGCAUGCCAGUUUAUGGCCAUCUCCUAAAGCCCUGGGCUCUGUUUCUGUGAGUUUUGUGUGUGGUGGCAGAGUAUUGUUUGUGUGGACUAGGCUGAGUGUGUUGGGAAAAUUUUUAACUUGUCCCCUCCUUCCAAAAGGUAAGCAGUAGUAUAACCCCUGAAGGUUUGUGAGUUGAGGAGCUGCAUCCCGUUCCAGUGGGGGGAGCAUUGUGGUCUGCACCUCCAGCAGGUGCAGAUUACUUGAAGAGCUUUUGCAGGGUCCCAGCACUCAGUCAAUGAGUUAUUGAGAAGUGCCAUAGGAACCGCAAGGGAGCUCUUAAAGUGAUCUACACUCAAUAGAGUUGCAGAUCAAGAAACUCACUUGAGGUAGGGAAUAGGCAAAGGUUCAAGAAGAGAGAACACCUCCCCCCCCUCACAGACAGAGCCAGAGCUCCAGUCCCCACUGUGACCCUGCCUGGGCCCUAGGUACCAUCUAUGCUGCCUUACUGGUAAUCCUGUUCUGAAGCAGUUGUUUGAACUUUCCUGAACUUGCACUGCUUAAAUCUCUAUGGUGAAUCAGUAGUCCCCCAGGUGCUAUAGAACUAUAACACACAUAUUUCUUUGCUACUCUGGCAAAGUCUCAUGACACAGGAAACUCCUGCUAAAAUUUGUUGCGGUUUCAUUUAAAAAACAAACAAAAAACGUUUAUUUACUUUUCGUUAUCCUUGUAUUUAUCAUGGUUAUUUUGCAAGAACCAUAACAAUGUAUAUUUGUACAUAUUGUGUAAGGUGGUCCCCUGUCACCUUUAGCCUCCAUUAGGAUUGCCAGUAACUGCUCCAAUUUGCAAUUAUUAUUUCAGCUGUAAGGUCCUUCUUUAUGACAUCAUAGUCUUUUUACAUCAGCUCCAGGUUUUGAUCAUAAAAAAAAAAAGACUGAGAUUUCAGUUAUAUGGUAAGGUAACAAGCUUCAUCUGACCUCUGUCUUCAUGUAUAGUGGCUUCAUUCAUGUAUUUUCUUAAUUGAAACUACUGCAAGUAAUUUCUGAGUGUUGACGUACAUAUUGCACAAGCCCUUUCUGUGCAGAGGAUUAUAGAGGACAUGUUUAGUGCUCCCAUUGAAAACCAUGGAAGAGCUAGAAUUGAAGAUUCAAUCACUUCCCAGUAAAUGGGGUCUCACUGGAAUAUUCCUUUAGUACAUUAUAUAAAGGGUAUAUAAUAGAAUUAAAAGGGAGCUCAACUUCAGGCCCUUUAAUGUUGAGCUACCGCUGCCUUUUUAGUCUUAUCUCGCAAUUUUGGGGUUCAUGUUUUGUUUUUUUUACUCCUUUUCACAUUAUCUUUAUAUCUUUAGUUCCAGUUUGAAGAAACUUAUUGUAUUUCUUCCCUGUAUGAAAUUGGCUGUGUUGAAAGCAUUGCCAAGAUCCAAUACUCACAAGUGACAUCUGGCCAAUGUGCUUUGUGCUCACUCCAGUACAUCCAGCCGUUUUUACUGUAGCAUGUCUUCUUUAUAGAUCCCGUAAACCACCUCCAAAUAUGUUUUAUGAUUCAUGCUAUAAAAGAUAAAAUUGUGCUGUAUUAAAGGGCACACCGGCAGGACAUCGGACACCAUUACUCUUGUCAGCAUGAACAAAUUGCUCAACUCAACUGGAAAAUUUUGGAGCAAGAAAAAUGCAUAACCAGCAAAAGAAAAAGUAGGGUUGCUAAACAAUGCCAGAAAAUUGCCUUUGUCACAGAUUGUGAUGAACUAACUGGAUUGUUUUAGUGUAGGUUUAAUGUCAAGAAAUGGGAAUUCCAAGUCCUGUACCUGCAGACUCUGGUCCAAAGAGAGAGAACAGGUUCAUUCUACUUUAGAAAGUGCUGAUUUCUAAGAUCAUCUAAUAUAAACUCUAAGCACUUCUGGAAAUGUGUGAUUUAAAAAGUGCAGAACGAAUGUGUAUUUUGAAAGUAAACAUACAUUAUGACGUUGGAUAAAAACCAAAACCUCUUUAGUACUACACGUUUUCCAGCUCAGCUAAAACCAUAUAUUUGUUUUUGACACAAACACACACACUCACACACACUCUCUAUAAUUUUAGUCUUAUUUUGUAUUUUUAGCUUUAUCUGCUAUGUUAAGAGAACUAUAACAUACUUGAAAACAUAAUUUAUUUUGUUAGAUGAAAAGUGUAAAAGAAAUGUUGCUCACAAACAAUCUGGAAAUAGUGAAUACAUAUACAAAAAGAUAAGUCCUGCGCUCACUCCCAUCACUCCUGGGCGGCAGCAAUGACCACAGUACACAUCAGCCCCAAUAUAUAGUUAAAAACCAAAGGAAAAAAGUUAUCUGCGCUCUCUCCUUAAUCCCGAUGUAUAUUUAGACAAAUGGACGUCAUUUAGUAACUCCAAUGGCCAUUGGAGGGAAUGCCCGCCUGCCAACGUCAAGGCAGACCCCCCUAAGCGGGUCCUACACUGACCCUUCACCUUGCUUCCUUGAGCUUCUGGCAAAGAUAUCUCUAAUGAGACAGAGAGGGGUAUUUUAAAAAAAAAUAAUCUUUGGACCUCAAUUUGUCUAAAUAUACAUAGGGAUUAAGGAGAGAGCGCAGGUAACUUUUUUCCUUUGGUUUUUAAUCUGGAAAUAGUGUUUUUGGUGUUUUUAUGAUGCCUUGUGAAAUCACAUCCAGCUUUGUGAUGUCACAUCAGCAGUGCCAGGAAUGUAUACAUUACAAUACAGUGCUGGUUGCACUGGUUUUCCUGAUAACUGUCCCAGUUAGUACUUUAGACUACUUUUUAGAACAAAGUGGCAUCAGCCACUCACAAGGUUCAAAUUAGGCAGAUUUAUUGUAGCGAAAAAAGUACUUUAGAACAGCAUUUCGAAAUUCACCAAGAUCUUUGUCAAGCUUGACAAAUCUAAUAAUGAUAGAUGUGUUUUCGUGCUAGGUGUCAUGAAAAGUAUCAGUUUUUCAGAAUUCAAAGUGAUUCCGAUUUUAGGCUAAAAUAACUGUAAUAAAAUAUAACAGUCUUGUAUUUUUAUUCAGUUCAGCUAUUCUGGCCUAGAGCUGGAAAUUAAUUAUGAAUUUCAAACCACUCAAGCUUAGUAAAUAAACCUGACAGGGAAUACUAUGAUGUCCUAUGCAUAUGUGUAUAGAACCGAAGCAUAUAGGUAUAAACUACUGCAAUAGAAACCCGUAAAUUGAAUCACCUUAGAACUAUUCCAGAAUGUAUUGGGUUUAAGUGCACACUUCAUGAUGUGCCUACAGCCUCUUACUUGCUAGGCGGGGAGGAACACUUGCUGUAGUGUAAUUGUCAUAAUCUAAUCCAGGUUUGUUUUAAAAAUGGCUGUUCAUCUUUAUAUUUUAUUACAGAAUGUAUAGACUUUUAUUUAUUUAUUUUAUUAUUUUUUUUAAACCUAUAUCAGACCUUGUCACUAUUUGAGUCCCAUCGUUCCGGACAUGUAAAUGCAUUUAUGGAAAUGAGUGUUAUUUAUUAAAAUUUUUAAAUCACCGUGGCAGAAAAUGAAAUUUUAGCAGCUAUAAUUAAUAGAAAAAAACGACGUGGCAUGAUAAAUAGGUCCAGUAAAUGCAAAGAGAACAAAAUUAAAUAUGCUCACUGGUGUAUGUUACAUGCACCACUGAAGUGUGUUGCUUAUGUGAAAUUCAAUGCAUUUUUAAUGUAUAACAUUACGUUAUAGGCAGGAAUUAUUAAAUGGCAACAUGGGCCUUGGAAAGCAAUCCCAUGUAAUAUGCUAAAAGGUAUGUGUAAUGCGUUUAAUGUAUACUUAUUUUCUCUGUGUUUUUCUUCCCUCAGCAUCAAAAUGGUAUUGAUGUGGACAAGUGGAGAUACGUUCAAGACUGCAUAUUUUGUACUGAAUCAAGCCCCUUUCCAGUUCACAAUCUGUGGACUACUUCAGGUGUUUGUGGACAUCACCAUCCUGCUGCAGGUGUACCUGUACAGCCGCUACCCUCAGAAGCCAGUUACUCACCCCAUACAUGCUAGCAGUGCCAAAGUUCUGUGACGAGAAAAAAAAAAGUACUGUUUUACUGUGUGCUUCCUGGUCAUUGAACUGCACCUUCUACAGCUUCCAUGGUAUACAUACCACCAGGGACAUGUGAAGUCCACCAAUAUAUUCUGUUUUUUUUUUGUUUUUUUAAUGUUUGUUUUCCCCAGAGAAUUGAGGUAAUGAUGCUACAGUCACUCUUUACAGGUUUGUGCAUGUAUUUCUAUAAGUAAACGUGUAAAUCAUUGUACGGCAUGUAUUUGCAAUGAGUAUGUGUGUUGGUGUAUACACACACACCAACAGACAUACAGAGUUUUAUAGAGAAUUUAGUAUCCUGGAUUAUUUAUUUUUUCUUUCUAAUAUAUCCUGUUUGAUAUGCUGACCACCAACAAACUACCAAUGACUACCCAUUGCAUGCAAUGAUACAACAAUAUACAAUAUCACAGCAUGUUAAGCAAACUGAGGACAGUUUCAUUUGGACACAAUCUACUUAUCACUAAAAUGUUCUGUUUAAAAAAAAAAAAAAAAAUGUUGCCAAUCCAAUUUGUAUGUAUAUGGAUACAUCCAGAAUAUCUCCACACAAACUCAUAUGCAUAUACACACACACACACACACACACACACACACACACACGUAACCUGUAGCAGAAUUCUCAUGAAAAGUUUGGUACCUUGUAAUAGAUAAUCACCUCUAGCUGCUUUGUAUAUAAAGAUUAUUCAGUGCCAGAACAACACAAAGCAGUGAGUUCCAUCCCAGUCCUCUAGAAACACCACCAGUCCAAGAUCUUGGUAUUUCACCGUUAUGGACUUUUGGGGAUGCUGCCAAUACUUGCGCCAUUGGUUUGCCUGAGGACGGAAUUGAAGAAAAACUGCUAUAGCGGAAUGUCUUGUGUAUCCAUAUCUUUGGUUCAGAACACCAUUUCUCACUAGCUUGAAAUUAAAUACACGUAUCUCUUUCCAUUAUAGAUUAGCGCACAUUUUCAUUGACACACAUCUGCACGGCAAUGGUGAUUACCUCUUCUGUGUCACUGCAUUAGCUGCACUUUAUCAGUAUUACUUAUAAUGAGCAAAGCUUUGCAGUUUAGUUCUUAAUUAUUAGUCUGUUUUCGACACCUAGGACCUUCGACUUUUAGUUUCAUUUUUAUACCUCAUCGAUAAAGAUGGAGGAGUGUUUCCUGGUAGAAAUUAUUAUAGAGGCCUUUCAUUGAUUUUGUGCUCUUUUUCAUGAAUAUGAAGUAUUUAUGUCCUAUUACAUUGUUAUUAGUGUUUUGAAUUCUUCAGCAAAGUCUGUGAAAGGAAAUUAGCAAAAUGAGCCUGUGUGGUACUUUAAUGGUUUAUUCCAGGGUUAGUAUAUUGUAACAUUCCAGCUGAUAUUAGACUAUACUGCCAGGUGAUUUCAAUUAAGCUUUUAGUCUAUACAUCAGUUGCUUAUAUUCUAAACCACAGCACUGUAUUAUAAAUACAUUGACAUCAUUUUACAUUUAAAUCAACAAGUAUGCAAUUAAAUAUAUAGCUUGUACAUGUUUAUACAUGACUGUGUGCAGUAUUCUUUAAUACCAGGUAAAGGCACCUAGAUUAUACUCUUAUUAAAAAAUACAUUAAAAAAUAAAAAUAAAGUUUUAGCUAAUGACAAGGCACAACACCACUGUCCCUACAAAUAAAUAAUAAAUAGCUUUAAUUUGGUACUGUUGGCAGCUGCAGUGGUAAGCUUACAUGAAUAUACCACUGAAUAUUAGCUAUAUAACAGCAGGUGUAUCUGAGCUGUUACUAGCUCUGUAGUUUGUCCCCGAUUUUCCACAGUGAAAAGAGUCAGACAAUCUGCCAAAACAAUGGCAAUUUAUGAAGUAAAAUAUCAGCCCACUGAUUUAUAACUCAGUCAAUUUAAUAUUGGAACUCUGCGCUUAAUUGGGGUAAUUGUAAUUUUUUUUAAUAUAUAAAUAUAUAUUUGUUUACAAAAUUAGCUUAGAGAGUGCUCUUUGCUUCUGUGUUCACAUGUUUCACUGUAUUGGUGUUUCUUUGCUCCUGUUGUCUAUAAUCCGACUCAGGAAAUGUGAGCACUCUUAAUUUGCAAAUACGAAUCAGCUACACUGCAAUGACUUUGAUAAUUACAUUUAUAUACUAGAUCAGAUUUGUUUACAUUUUACCUCUGGCACCAUUAAUGAAUUUCUGAGCAGAUAUGAAAGUAAUUCCAGUGUGUCUUUGUUUUAGUUUUCUUUUUCUUUUUUUCUUUUGUUACUGUUGGUGAUUGUGUUUUGAGAUAGAUAUAUAGAUAUAUAUAUAUAUAUAUAUAUAUAUAUAUAAAAAAUUAUUUUUUUGUUUUUGUGUGUUUGUGCAUAGAUUAGAUUGGUAGUAAGGCAAAAUAUAAUUUCUUAGUUUUGAUUUACCCAGAAUUGCAUGUGUUCCUUGUGAUCUAUUCUAUAUGUUCUCAGAGUGAAAGCCUAAGUUAGGUAUUUGUUAACAAAGCUCAUUUGAUAAGUAUGUGGCAAUGGACUGUUUUUAAAUAAAGGCCAGUGCUUGUUUGGGUAUGUAAUUAUUAGCUACGGCAUUGUAACUUAUCUUUUCGUAGAAUAUUAUUGUACUGAAUUUGCCUCAGCCAUGUUAUCAUAGACAACUUUUCUUCAAGGACAGAGUAUUGCAAAGGAGCAAUAGUAUUCUAAUGCUUCAAUUUUCACAACUACUCCUAAGCUCUUAAAAUUACUUCACCAAUAUAUACAUUCCUUCUUUAUUUAAUGAUUAAUAAUUGAUAUAUUGAAGUGUUUGUCCUUUGAUGGCCACUCUUGUGUGCCACAGCCAUUUUAAGACAUCCAUAUUGUAGGCCUAAACCAUCAAAAUCUAAUCAUCUUUUUUAGAACUCAAAGCCAUGUAUAAAGGGGAUGUUUAUUUUGACAGUCUUUGAUUGCAUAAUAUAUCUGUGUUUUUAACCCUUUAAAGCAGUCCAUGGGCAACCUGAAACAUUACCACCAAAGGUAUUUAGCAAACAUUUAUAUUGUACAUGUAGAAAACUUUUCCAAUUUGCAUUAGAACAUUCCAAACACCUAGAGAACUUUAGCUUGCAUGCUUUACGUGGUGUCCUUUUUUUCAUAUUACAAAAAGUGUAUAUUGUAUUAGACAACUGGUCCUGUUACUUCCUGGUUUGGUUAGCUCAGUGGAGAUAAACACAAGCACCGUGCAAAUAUUUCCCAUUGAGCUACAUUGAGAAGUCUGUGAUUGGACAACCACAGAAAGUCAGGGCUUAGUUAGAAGGGAGGGCUUGCAAAGGCUGCAGAUGAGAUCUGCAGCUUUUACAAUUAGUUUGUAAACACUCUUUAAGUUUGCAGAUAAAGUAAGCAUUGCACACUUGCAAGCUGUUUUAGAUGGAUCCUCAUUGGAAAAAUUCAUGCCUGUUUUCAUUGGAGUAUAUCUACUAAAUAGUGUUUGUUUGGGGGCAGUAAAGUGUCCCUUUACUGUAUUAAUACAAUUUCUUUAUCUGAGCAAACUUUGACUAGGUAAAGUAAUCAUAGUAAUGUAUCAUACAUUCAUAUUGCAUAUGACAUUUAAUUCCAUUCCAACUUUUCUGUAUUAUUAGACAUAAACUUGUAUCUUCAGUCUGUGGUAGCGUAUGAUUGCAUAUGAUAUUUUGACUUAUAAUACUUAAAUGGCUACUAUAAUCCCUUUGAAAGUGGGGACCUGUCUGGUGUAUAAUGCUCUACCGGGCACUGUAGAGAUGGUUUCCCCUUUCAAUUAGCAAUGAAUCUUUAAAAAAAAAAACUCACCUGCUAUCCAGCACUAAACAAAGCUCCUGGUGCUGCUAUCCCAUGUCCACUCCUAACAUUACUGGAACCACCCAUGAGAAGCUUGUGAUUGGACCAUUUUUACAGUUCAGAUUGCAUGUGCGUGCUCUGAGCUGGCAAGGGAAGGGAGGGAGGGAGGCAGAGAAAGGGAAUGCGGAGGAGGAAGGUAAGUGUUGUUUCUUUUUAUUUUUUAUUUAAUACACCAGUGAUGCAGAGGGAGGGGAGAGAGCUGACUUUCCCAUGCAGAGUUCUCAGCUACCAAUGUCACAUGUGCUGGGGGUACAAAAAACACCCUCCAGCACACAAUUACAAAUAUUUCUGUAUGUGCAGUGUUUCAAGCUGAAACUAUGCAGAUACUGACUCCUACCAAAUCACUGAAGUGGUCAUGAUGGUUGCAGUAACCCUUUAAUUAAAAUGUACUUGUGUUUCCAAUACAGUAGUUAUACCCUUUUUGCAUUGCUUUUCUAUGUACACACAAUAUAUAUAUUCUAAUUAAAUAUACAAUCAAAACUUGCAAUAGAUGAUGUUGUUUCCCUUGUAAUCGGGAAUUAAAAUGCUGAUAGGGGUGAUUAUUGUUACAUAACUCUCAGGGUAUGUAGUAUUGAAUGGCAAAAUUGUAAAUGAAGAGGGAGGCUGCUAUGUAUGUGACAGACAUGUUUUACUUUGAUUCAGGUGGUGUCCAGCUUUUGUUAGACUUUAUUAUUAUUAUUAUUAUUAUUAUUAUUAUUAUUAUUUUUAAUUUCUGUCAUUUGACAGCUUUUGUAUUACAAUGUUGUUAUGAUUUCCCUUGCAUUCCGAUUACCUUGAGUGAUAGGCCUUCUUUGUAGGUCAGUAAAAAUUUAUUUUCUGUUUAUAGUUUUAUGUGGGAAAAAUAGUCUACAUCAGUGGUCCUUCCUAUUGAUCUUUGUAAGGAAGGCGCAUAAUAGAAAAAAACUUUUGUAUAAUAUGAUGUUAUUUAACAGCACAGUUGCAUAUUCUGGGCAGAAUUCAGUACCAAUGAAAGUUUUAAAUAAUUUAGCCUAUUUGGGAUAUUGGAAGGAUGUUUGACAAAGCUUUGAGUUCCUUAUCCCGAUUUAGUAUAUUUUCAAAAUGGUGCUGCUCUUUGUUAUAAGAUUAUUCUAUUUUGUAUUGUCUUGCAUUCAAUAAAGAAAAAGUGGAUAUUGGGCUCUGGGUGCAAGAAAGAUGUAAAACCUAUUGCUAUGUGAUGUCAUAUUCACACAGCCAUGAAUUAAUAAAAUUACUUUGCAGCCCAGUGCACAAGUAAGUGUGACAUGAACAUUGGCUGGGGGCCUGAAGAAUGAAGUAACUAUGGGGGGACAGGUACUUUAUAAAGUUUUUCCAGUUGGCUAUGGCAUGAACACCAUUUAACAUUAAAGGGGCACAACCAUGAAAAUAUUUCUCCCUUAAUUCUCAGCACAGUCUUUGUAGUCCAUAGUAGUUUUAGAUAAAUAAAUUCAUUGAAUGUUAAAUUCUAAAAUAUUGUUUCAUUUGCUGCUGUGCAUGGGUAAAAAAUAUAAUUUUUUUUUAGCACUGGGUCUAAUCCAUGACAUCCCUUUAGAAAUACAUUCUGUAUAUGUUGCCUUAUUAUACUUAGAGAAAAAUGUCCACAUAAGCAAAAUGAGAACAAGCCUUAGUCUUAAACUAAUGGAAAACCGGUACAGUUCACAUAAUUUUUUUUAGGUGACAAGUAGAAAAAGAGGAGCAUAAUAAAAUAAUAAGAUUUAAAAAAUAUAUAUAUUUUUUUCUUUUGAAAUCCAAACUGCUCGAUGCAAAUACGACAUUUAUGUACACAAGCACGUGUCUUUUUCAUGAUUGUGUCCCUUUAACAAUCUUAUGGUAUUUGAUUUGUCUUACUACCAAACUUGAUUUAUAGCAUCGACUAUUCCGCAUUAAACGUUUUGAUUGCACUCUAACAUUCCUGCAGUUUUAUUUUAGAAAUAUUGUCUACUAGUUAUUUUUUAAUGUUCAUAAAACAUGUUUUUUUUGUUGUUUUUUUUGUCAAUGGUGUAAAAUUUUACAAUUUGUAAACAUGUUAUAUAAGACACUUGAUCACUGUAUGUUACAUUUGUAAGUUAUGUUGUACUGUAUGCAUACCUUCUUGCCAAAGUGACCUUCUAGACCUGGUGGUGGUUACAUUUUGCUCCCCUAAUAUUUACAAGCUACACUACCCAUGCUCGGCCAACCUCAGAGCUGGGAAAUGUAGUUUGCAAUAAUUUGGAGUGCCAAAGUUAGGCAUCACUGUAUUAGAUGUAAUGUUUGGACUAUAUUUACCAAAAGGUAAAAAAAAAAAACCCUGAGAUAUUUCAUAGAGUCCUGGGGUCAUCACCUUGAACUUAAAGCAUACCUACGAAGUGGGACAGUAGCCUGAAUAGCUUGAAACUAGCCUAUCUCACUGAGUAGUUGACUUUAAUGAGGUAUGUUAACGCAUCAUGCUAUAACGGUAGAAGACAAUGCUUUCACAUUUAGUAAAUACAAUCUUCUACUUGAUCUGAAUGUGUUUCCUUUUAAUAAAAAAAUCAUAUUCCAGUUAAAUUUGUUUGUUUUUCUUAAAAAAAACUUUCAUAUAAUUAGAUGCCGCAUUAAGUUUUGAUGUACUGAAUGAUAAUGUAAUUUGUAUAACAUGUCUUUUUUGUUUUAGACUGCUAUGUGAUGUGCUACAACACAUUUUCUCUUACAUUUCACCUGCACUGUACUAAUUAAAGAUCUUGUUUUCUUUUUCCCAGACACCUUUAAAAUAUAAUAAAUAUGAGCAGUUGUCUUCGAAGUUUGAAGAGAAAGUCACCUUUUGAUUUGGCAACCAUUACAUUUGUAUUCACAGCAGUAAAUGCUGUUAAGGCAUUUUAUUGGGGUGAGGUUUGUUGUGGUAACAGGGCACACCUUGACACUGCUGGGUAUUGUUGCCAACGUCCUCAGGUGGCAACUUUGGCAUUUUCUUCCAUAAUGCCAUACAUGCUGGGAACCCUUCCAAAAUCACAAUAAGAACACAUCCACUGCAUCAUAGGAGAAAUUGUAGAAAAUGUAAUUAAUAUUUUGAGAAGAAAUCAUACCAUUACUAAGUUUAUUAAAUUUGGCUUUCGUGCUAUGUAAAAAAAAAUAAAAAAUGACUGUUUUCACUAAGCGUAUUAAAAUUAAAGAGACACUGCCAAAAGGUUGUUUUUUAGUUUUUUUAAUCUAAUGUAUAGCAUUUAAUAUCGUGGAUGGCAACUAUCCAUAGGUUUUUACCUUUUAUUUAUUUCUACUUUUUCUCAAAAGAAAUUUAUACAUUUAUGCUGCCAAACCAACUCUGAAGUAAAACCUGAUGUUAUUAAAGUCGUUUCUAGAAUACGUUUUUGACAUAUUAGGCCCUGCUAUAUUUUGAGGAUAAGUGCUUUGUUUUUCAUGUAAAUUAUAAAUGAAUUCAACAUUCUGUUUAGCAUUUCAUAAAAUGUGUGCUUUAUAAAAAUGGAAAAAGACUGGGGAAUGUUUAUUUGAUCUGAGUGUUUUGCUUAAAAAGAAAUUUGCACUGUUUUUAUAAAAGAAUCCUUUGAAAUCGAUCAAGCUACCGACUCUUACAACUGUAACUGUUUUUGUGACUAUACUCAAAGUUGAUGAAAAA